RNAcentral lists this long non-coding RNA (65691 nucleotides) under Triticum aestivum (bread wheat). RNAcentral's name for it is "long non-coding RNA (TAES_LNC019747)". The stretch from base 14008 to 14133 matches the Rfam family "MIR1120/MIR1122 microRNA precursor family". Lineage: Eukaryota; Viridiplantae; Streptophyta; Magnoliopsida; Poales; Poaceae. The record is from RNAcentral.
UUUUUUUUGGGUUUUUCCAGUCUUCUGGUUUUUUUAGUCCUCAUUUAUUUUCUUUCCACUUGAAGCACAUGUAAGCUCCAACCGCGCUUCUCCAAAAAAGUGAAGCACACACUCCGUGAAAAGCACAAAUCAGUUUACUCGGAAGCACGUGUCAGUACAGUUUGUAAGCACAUAUUUACAUAAAAUGUUUAUCAAAACUUAUCAACAUGAAAUCUAGUUUAAAAAAUGUUGACAUGAGGAAUGCAACGAUGAAAACGGUUUAUGAUUUGGGCGCACGGUUCAAAAGAUAAAACAUUUCAAAAAAGGAAAUCUACGAAUAAACACACAAACAAAAUCACCGUGCCUCUCGUGGGGAGAAAUCCCACCAAAAUCCUUUGAAGGGGUACGAAAAAAUCAAAUCUAAAAAGUGAAAAGGAAAAACAACGAAAAAUAAAAAACCGAAACAAAAAACACACACAGAAAAAACCCGAAAGAAAACCAAACUCCCGAACGAAAGAAACACGAAGAAAGGAACGGACGGGCACGCUGCUUCCUGGGCCGGCUCAUUUCCCACCAGGCUUUUAGACGACAGCCAACCUUUCUCAGGCCCACAGCCGAAUGAGGCACUCCUGAAUGGGCCAAAUAAGUGGAUUUGACGAGAGAAGCCAGCCCAAGAGGCCCCGGACACCCUCGUCCUCCACCGGACCACCGCGGCGCCACUCCCCUUCGUCGGCCGCCACCCUCUCCGCCGGUCCCCUGCCUUCGCCCCCACUCCGUCCGCGAGCCCGGCAGGCGACGCCGGCGGCCAAGCCCCAUCGCCCGCCCCUCUCCCCGCCCUAUCAAACACCCCCUCUACCUCCAACUUUGCCCCCAAGAUGGUCUCCUCCGUCCCCACCCCCACGGCGGCGGCGGCGGCGCCCGAGUCACCGUCCACCAUCACGGACGGCGCCGUCAGCGGCACACUCCCGCGGACAGAGGCCUUCGCCGUGCACUACCCUGGAUACCCCUCCUCCCCCGCUCGCGCCACCCAUACCCUCGGCGGCCUCCCCGCCAUCGCCAAGGUACACCUAAAUCCCUCAUCCGUCUCGCUUCCAUCAGGCAGCGCAAGCGGAGUGACCUGCUUCCGCUUGUUCUCUGAUCCCCCGCAGGUCCGGAGUUCUGACCCUGGUUCCCGCCUCGAGCUCCGCUUCCGCCCGGAGGACCCCGACUGCCACCCGACAUUCGGCGAGCCCCGCGCCUCCACCGGCCUGCUCCUCCGCCUCUCAAGGCCCAAGGGAGGCUCCGCGCCACCGCGUGCCGAGGUGGUGGCGCGCGUCCGGACCGCCUACCAUUUCGAUGGUGAGCGCUUAGCUACAACCUGUUCGAUGAAAUGCCUUGCUCUUUAUUACGGCUGCCAUGUUCCAAGGCUCGCUUCUUUUGACCAGUUUGAGCAACUCUAACUAGUAGCUAGUAGAUUAUGAUAUGGUAUAUGGUGUUUACCAGUAUGAUACACUAUGUUGGACUAUGGAUGUUACAAAUAUAAGACUUUAUUUGGAGGCAGUGUUGUGUUUGAAUGCAGGAUUUUCUACAAGCAAAUUUGCUCAUACACAAGUUUAUGCAGGCAUGGCAGAUUUUCAGCAUGUCGUCCCAGUUCAUGCUGCUCAAGUGAGAAAAAGAAAACGGUUAGAUUGUCCCAGUGUUAAAGAUGAUUUAGGCACUGGUAGAAUACCUUCGGACUUUCUCUACUUUGAUGAUGCAAUGGCUUAAUGUUGCCAUUUCUGAUCACUCCUUUCCUCUUCUGCAUGGCAGAUAAGGCAGGAGGUCUAGACAUGGAUGAUGGAGAUGUCAUGAUGUUGGUACCACCACUCUUCGCAAUAAAGGAUAAUCCAACAAACAUAGCGUAAGUGCUCCUAGUCUCACAGUUUACAAUGACGUUGAAUUUGGGUGGGUGGUGUGUGUGUGUGUGUGUGUGUGUGUGUGUGUGUGUGUGUGAGUAUUUAUCAGCAUCUGAUUUGCUGCUGGUACCUCAAAUAUCUGCUGGAUAUAUAUAAAUAACCAUGACUAUAUCUGUGGCUUGAAAUAUUUGAAGUCAAUGCUAACCUAAACAAGCUUUGUAAAUUUGUCUUGUUCAUCUUCUAGUUGAACAACUCAUUGUUGAAAGUCCUUUUUUUUUCUCAAAUCAUCUCCAGUGAUGAGUCUCUUUUGCUUUGUGCAAUCAUCAUGGGUUUUUUCUUCGUCACCUGUAAAGGAAUGACAGUAGGUUCGGUUUCCUAUAAGUGCCGCACGACUUUUUGCCGACAAAUGCCUUUUAUCAGCACACUCAUUCACAUGGUCAACGUUGUAGCACCAGUUGUGUGGGCACAUGAAUCUUCACUAAGGCACCGACAAUAAUUUCAGAAUUGAUCAGAAUGCUCCCAAAUAUUAUUUUUAUCUAGAUAAAAACAUGUUAUUCUUACCUUCUCACCCUCGGAAAAGUGGAGCUAAGUUGUCUGCGUAGCUUCUGGGAUUAGCUCCACUAGCUUUAAAAAAUUUAUUUCACCAUUAUAUAUAUAUAUAUAUAUAUCUGACAAAUAAUAUAUCAUUAAAAUAUUGCUUAAUAAUAUUUACUGUAAUUUUUUAGGCUUCUACCAUCGACCAAUGCACUAUCCAAGAGCAUGCAAAGGGGAGUUGUGCGGCAUCGGUGGGAGGUUGAUCCUCCUUGCAUGGACCUUUUCUGUUGCUUAUCUGUUGCAGUGAUUCUAGGUUCUCAUGAAUGUCUACUAAAAUAUAAUUGUGACAUUUUUCUCAGUUUACUCUUUUGGGUAAACUGUACUCGGCCCUACAUUGCUUACCAACACUCUAAAUAGCAGUAAGCGGUAAGAGACAUGCCGCUCAGUCUGAAAGCGGUUUAGCAGUUAUAGAUAUGACUAUUUAUGUGCAGUCAGGCUUUACUUAAAAGGUGGAGUUGGUGAGCGGUGGUAUUCUCAGCAUCUCUCCUUCUACCUUCCUUAAAUAUAGGAUAUCUACAGGAGUUACAACUGGGAAAUAUGAUUUCUAUUUAUCCAUAGCAACGCAUGGAAAUACAGCUAGUCAUAGAAAACACACACAACUGAACAUUGAGUUCUGAAUUUUUGUACUGUUUCACCUGAGGGCAUUGCUAAGGGUUUACUCUACAUCAUCUGUCUUAAGUGGUGCUGUCAAACCUGCUUCCUUAAUAGUUUCUUGAGGAAGCGCUCAUGAAUCUUAGUGAGGAUGCCUCAAAAGAGCAAGUAAUCCUUCUACAUGCUAUGUGUAUAGGCUCGCUAAACAGCUAGCCUGCUAAACUGCUAUCAAGGUCCGCUAAACCUUUAAAUUUGGAUCUCUGUAUAGCGUGAAGAUAGACCUGUGACUAACUCAUAGUAGCUGUUAUCAUCGUCGCAAAGGCUGUUAUUUAGAACAUGUUACUUCCCUGUCUUGAUUUACCCUAUAUUUUGUUGUAUUGCACUACAUUAUUUGCUGAAUAUGUACAUAUGUUACACUUUGCAAUAACUUCGGCUAUAUUUGGUGCUGUAACAUUUAUCCCUUCGAAAGCGGCUAAUUAGUGACCUUUACCACCUGUAGCUUCUCAUACUCACCAUGGCUCUCUAAGUCUCUAUCAUAUCUUUGCUGCUUUAUGUUGAUAGUUUUGUGAGGUAUGAUCAGUUUUUGUGAGAUGGCUGCUUCCCUCCCAUAAUUUUCAGAGGAAGAUGGGAGCAGCCUUCAUAGCACCAUUUUUUGCCAUAUGUAGACAUUCCACUCAAGUUUUUUAUAUUGCUCUCAUUGCACCUUUGGUUACCAGGCUUACUUGAAUAGCGGUUAGGACAUUUUUUCUGCUACCUCGUUCAAUGCCUUCUCUUGGGAGAUGUGUCCAUUUUAGUUGGUGUGAAAUAGCUUAUUGACUGCAUUGGUGAUGACUGUUUUUCUUUGCUCGCAGAUGGAUAUUGAACCAACCCUUGCGCUUCCUUUCAACAUUCAAGAUAUCCUUUGUUUAGUGUUAUACCAUCAACUUUGUGUACUUUCUUAAUAAAUAUAGGACAACAUCUUACAUGUUACUUUGUUUAUAAAAUGUUUGGAUCUGUCACCUGACUUCACGUAUUGUAUUUGCCAUCAGAAGCAUGUGUAACUAGUGUUAAGUGCCACUUUCAACACUUGAGGAUAGAAAAGGACCAAAAUGGAUUUGAUGGUGGAGCUUGGUCUCUGGUCAGGUCCCAUGGGCAGGGGCAGGUAAGGCACGUGACAUGGCCGGGUUGUAGGUGAGCUCGGCCUUAGGUAGGGGCAAUGCUGCUGUCCUCAAAUCAAGUCAUGGUCAGCACUAUGUAAUCAUCGAAUAUGGGUAUUCUGAGCGGUGACCAUUGGAAGUGAAUCACAACACUGGUGACAUCUGUUUCAUGUGCGCCACUGCAAAAUACACAAGCAUAGGUGGCAGAUCCAACAUCUUUCUUGCAUACUUUAAGUGGCAUAUAAGAUAUAUUGCCAUUUGCGUGUAUGAUAUUAAAACAGUUGGAGCUUAUGGUUUUGAACCAAAAUGAAGGAAUAUUGAAGUAAGCUAACAAAGAGUGAGAAAAUCAAGAGCUAAAAAAUAAUUUAGAGUUAGGCAAAAGAACGAAAGAGACCAAAAACAGGAAAAGAGAGAACAUUUUGCACGAGGAGGUUAGUAUGUUUAUUUAGGUUCCAUCAAGAGACGUACUAGAGUCUUGACUUUGUGUUGAGGGGCAGAGUUCUAUAUGCUUGGGAAAAAAAAUUCUUUUGUUUUCAAAAAUCUUCUGAGGGAUCAUUCAGUUUAUCUGCCUUGCAUUAACAUUUUACUCUUAUCUCAACUCGUAUUAGCAACUGCCAUGGUGUAAUUAAGGAAUUUAUAUUAUUAUUUCUGCAUAAUUUAUGGGAAUCCUUUUUUUAAUCUUUCUGAAUUAUAUCCAUUUUUUAUUCCGGCGUGUCAGUAUCCUCAUCAAUCCACAACCUUGAUGUUUAGCUCCCCAACUGGUAGUCGGUUCCCUUUCUCCCGGAUCAAUGAAGAAGGGAGAAGUCAAUUGGUUCUUCCAAAAAAAUGGAAGCGAAGUGCUAUGCUGGGGUGAGGGUGUUGGUUAUUUCGGAAGUUGGAAUGACAAGCAACCCAGUAAUAGUACUCCUUUAUACUUCUCCAAUGUAAAUAAUUGUGCUCCCUGUCAAUGCAUUUAUUUUACACAUAAUUGCCUCUCGUACAGUACUGUGGUAAAAGAGAACACCAGCAAUAACAAUGACACCACCCAUAUUUUCUGAUAAUUUUAUGUACCCUUUUGUAUUUGGAGAUAGAACAAUGCAGUGGUGACAUGUGAUGGUAGUAUAAUUUGUUUGCCAUAAAUGACCCUUUAUGUUUAAAACUUGCUGUUCCAUUAUGACCUAUACUCUGUUAUUCUGACGUGGCUAUCCAUGAAUUUUCCUCGUAAGAGGAUGUCUUUGCAAAAUCUUAGAUAGUGUUCCGAGGAAGGAAAUUAUCUUCCUCAUUUCCUCAAGCAUAUCCUUGUUUACCUUAAUUGCCAUUUACCUGUCCCCAAGAAGGUUAACUGGGAAGACCACAUACCAAGGAAUUCAUCAGAGUGGGAUUCACAGAUGGCUGUGUGCAAAUUAUUUGACGAGCGUCCUGUGUGGCCAAGACAGUCACUUUAUGAACGUUUGCUUGAUGAUGGUGUGCAUGUGUCAACAAGCCAGUUCAAAAGGUAUCGUUGUUUUUUUAACUCCUGAAUCAUUUAGGCCUUUCGAUAUGUCUUAACGUCUUCCAACUAUCGUCUCUUCAUUCAUUUUGUUUCUUUUUGUGUGCUUGCUCAGCCUUUUGUUUAAAGCUGGAUACUACUUCUCUACUGGACCCUUUGGUAAAUUCUGGAUCAAAAAAGAAUAUGAUCCUCGUAAAGAUCCCGAGUCACGAAUGUAAGCACUGCUUUGUUGAACUAUUUGCUUAUUUGACAUUCAUUAAAUAUUCUUUUGAGAGUAGAGCCUAUUACUUAAAUGGUAAGGAAUGCUUCUGAUGUUUCUUUGUUCAGCUGCAAAUAUCAAUGACCAUAAAGUUAUCAUAUCUUGUGCAGAACCUAUGAAAUAUGAGCUACCCUAAAAAAUAUUAUUUGAAAUGCGAACUCCAUUAUCAAACAUUGACAAGUCUUAUCUUUCUGAACUACACUACAUUAGCCAAAUGGUUUUUUCCUUUACAGUUGAAUCAUUAGACUACUGCUAAAUUUAAGAGAAGGGAGAGUGCAAAUGCAAUUCUUUUAGUAUAUGGAUAAUGCGGUGAUGGGCUACUUAAUGAGAAAGUGAGAUGAGAAUGAAAAAUAUAUAUUACUAGAUUGCUUCUCAGUAAAAGUAUGUAACUGAAAUACAUCCUCUAAAACUUAUAAGGGUUACAUCUGUUGUCUGGGUGUUGGAUUGUUGGAUAGGUCUGGGUUGGUUUGGAAUUCAGAUCAGCAUAUCUCUAUCUCCUGUUGACCUGUUGUCCUGGCCCCACAACUUCUCUAUUCCAAGGUUAGUAACAUUGUUAGCAAUCAUAUUAGAACGGUACAACCAAGGUUAAAUUGUAGAAAAAACAAUCCAAUCAAGUAACAUCGAUGAGGAUGGGCUGGAUGCCGGUUCUGGACACCGACCUUAUUGACUGGUGAUCUUCUUGGGAAGGUGAGGGCCAACUCUCAAGGGACGUGAGAACUGUGAUCCUGCUCAUCUUCUGGACACUUUGAAGGCACUGAAACGACAUCGUCUUCAGCAACCCGACACCCGCGAGAGACGUGGUUCUGGGCGAGAUACGGGGGGAGGCGUGAAGCUGGUGGCUGGCUAGGCUUUUCCGUUCUACACUAGCCAUGGAGUUCACUGUAGAUAGGUGGAAUGUAAGCGAGUAGUCGGAUUAGAAGUCCGUUUGGCCUUCAUGCUUUGAGGGCGAUGUAGCCAGAAAAGGUCAAACAGGAGAUCUUGGCCUUUCUUCCCUGCUACUGAUGUGUCCGUCUGGAUGUAUCCUUGAAAAAAAAAGUAACAUCGAUGAUCAAAUCUACUUCCAAAAGAAUAGUUCAUCUAACUAGAGACAACAUCCAUCAUAUUCUCAGAAACCUUCUUUGAGGAGUUCCUAUCCUGAAAAUGUAACUUCUUCCAUGUAUGAGGAGAAGAAACUUUAUGAAAAAUCACGCUUUAGCUUUGCAGUCAAAUGUUAAAAUAACUCGGAGUAACAAACUUGUAAAAAAAGAGAAUCUCUUAGCUACAUUUCUUGCGACCAAAAUCUUUCUUUACCUAUGCAUUUCAUUCUUGUCUUGGAACUCUAUUUCUUGGCUAUUUUAGAAUCUUUUAAAAAUGAUGUUCUUGUGCUAGAUAUCAGCGGAUUGAUUUUCGCAUGCCUCCUGAGCUAAGGAAUCUUCAAACGAAAAGGCACGAUGGGUGAGUCAUAUAUUUCUUUUUGCUUGCAUUUCGAGCCAGUGUUAUAUCAUUGCAUUAUUUAAAAGAUCUGUCUCUCAACUUCCCCGUUGUUUCCUGUAUUAGUGUCUCGUUGUUAAAAAUACUUCGUAAUACUAUAUAGUUACUAGCCUUCUAUUACUGGUGAAAGAACUUGGUGAUCAAAAGUUGCACACUCUACUCCGUGCCCAUGUCCAAAAUGGGAUACACCUAGUAAAUGUCAUACCUUUUUUAAACCUCAUCAUAAAUUCCUGCCACACCUCGUGUGAAUCCAAUGGACGCCAGUGCCCACUGUAUAAGAUUUUAGUUGAAUAUAAGAUACUGAUGUGUUAGCACUUCAACUAAAACGUUUGUGUCCAUUUUUCAGUACCCAAAACAGUGAAUGUAUGUGCCAAUUCUUAACACUAGCCUGCUGAUUUGAGCAAUAAUAAACAUGUUUCUGUUACGUAGAUUUCUCAGAAGUACGUAGUAUUUCUUCACUGAAAUAGAUAAAUAUAUUAAUUUAGCUUGAUUGUGGGAAAAGGUGAACAUGGUAAUAGUAGGAGCUGUUCUGGAGUUAAGUUAGGUACUUGUUAUGGCGCGUGAAACUUCACGCUGCAAAGUUUUGUCAUAGUGAUAGUGACCAUAAUUGAUUCCACCAUCUAACUGCAAUUGGGUGGGACUUUGUAGAGGACUCGAUUGUAAUUAAAUGGUGAAACUUCUGUAAUGAGAAUUUAGGUCAUACAUCCAGGUGCAAUUCUCAAACACUACAUGUGCAUAAAGUGUUGAAGCUUCAUUACAGAUAGGAAAAUAAAAUUGGCUUUGGCAUAUUCUAGUUCUCCACCAAGGGUUUCUAUCAAAAUACUUCUGAACUGUAGAUGUAGUAAUGCAUGUUCCACUAUGAGUGUUUUCAAGGUUUUCUGUUGAACUACUGGGUCACUGGGAAGAACUAAUCCUAUAUACCUAAAUAAUUGAUCCCCACUAACUCUAAUUCUCUCAACAUACAACUAUGCCAAGUCACCAUGCCACCAUGCAUGGGAAAAGACCCACGCUAGCAUACACCAUGCAUGCUACUCAUAUUCAAUAAAUAUUCUACAACUAUAUAAUAAUUAAAUAAAAUAAUUAUAUGUACUUUAGUUUCAAUUCCAUAAUGUUAAUAUAAAUACUAAUGUUUCAUACUAUCAGAUCUCGUUGAAAUAAUUGCAUCCAGUUUCCGCAGCAACGCACGGGCAUCAUCUCUAGUAUGAGCACAACAUGAACCAUGUAAUAAUCCUGACAGUUUCCCAAUAUGGUGAACAAAUGCUUAGCUCUUCACUUUUAUUUGUGUCAAUCCAGUUGAACAUUUAUGGGGGCAAAUCUGCCGUAACAUAUUUAGUUCCUCACUUCAUAUCUCCAGAUUAUUCUGGUGCCUGGUGAUGUCAUUGUCUGUUCAUAAAUAAACUUGGGUUAUGAAUGGCUUUGUUUAAGUGCUGCUCUCUUUGAAUAAGAAGGCCUUUACAUUUGCUGCUUGUUCUUCUCCCCACUGCUUAUACAUUUUUUCUUUUCUUUUGACAUGUAAGAUCUGAGAAGUGGUCAGAGAUGUGCAAGCUUGAAAGGAUGCCAUCGAAAAGUUUCAUCUUCCUGCAAUUAUUUGAACUGAAGGAUGACUUCAUUCAAGCCGAAAUUAGAAAACCUUCUCAUCAAUCAACUUGCUCAGUGAGUAACUAAAUAUUUGUUUUGAUGCUUUUUUGGAUAGAAAGAACAUAAACAUUGUAUGGGCAUAACAUAUCAACUGUUACUUAUCUACUCGUGUAUCUGACAUGAAUUAACUUUUGUGGCAUUUUGCUGGCCUUCAGAAAUCUCACUGUACAAUCAUUGUAAGUGUCUUGUUGAGGGAAAGUGUCAGACUACGUAGUUUUUCUGUUGCAAGCAGCUCUGCUUGCGUACCUUCAUCGACCACUUUUAAUCAUACCAAGUUCCCCCAAAUUUGCUGUGAUCAUAAUCUGUGUAAUAAUCUUGAUUCGUUGCUUGUAACAACAUUUCUUUGCAUGCAUAAACUAACUAAUUCCUAUGUAGCAUUCGACAGGUUGGUUUUCUAAGCCAAUGAUUAAAAGUUUGAGGUUACAACUAUGCAUAAGGUUCCUCUCAUUAUGUCCUAAUGAAGAUGCCAAAACCCUUUUGAGAAGUUCCCAUCAACUUCUUGAAAGGUCCAAAAAGCAGGAAGCUAUUUGCAGAUCCGAGCAACUGAAGGAAAGAAAAGAUGUUGAUGAAGGUUUAGUCUCAUCUACUAGUCAGAUGCAUAUUUGUUCAAUACAUAUGGGCUCUGGCCGCUGGGUACCCUGCAGACAUAGUGUAUGGUUCGCGUUUCGCGAUUUGUAGACCUCUUACUGAGCAGUAUGAACUUGCUGCGUACCUGCAUCGUUCAAAACAAUUUUCAUUGAGCUAAUUAUAUACUGCUUCGAUGGCUCUAUUAAUCUAAUUUUGUGAACCAAGAUUCAUUUGGAGCUAUUCUAGGUUUUAGUACUUAUGAGCUCACGAGAAAUUCCAAAAAGGUUUAUAGUACUAGAACAUAAUAGAAAACUUGACCUGUGAGUACAAUAUUCUCUUUGUUUGCAGUGGACAUAUUAUCCACAUUCUAACUUGUUCUAGUACUAUGCUAUCUUUAAGGAAUUUGUAGAAAAUACCCAAGUGCACUGUCUAGCUUAUAAAUGCUUAUGAACAAGGUUCAUGUUUCUAUAUCCCAUUUUCGUGCAUGCUAGGUUUGUACUUCUGUUUGUAUGGGCUUUGAUACAAGUUCAGGUCAAUUGGUAGCUCGUGUGUUCGAUGAACAAAUGUUUGUUCUUCUUCCUAGAGAGAUACUUAAGCACAUCCAUACUGCUUGUUAAAUCCUAUUUAUUCUCCAGAAGCGCCUGCUGAACAUGUUGGAUCUGAGGAUCAGAUGGACACUAACAACUCUGAUAGUGAAGAUGCUGAUGACGAGGAAGAGGAAGAUAAAGAGGAAUCAGAUGGUUAUGAUUCUCCAGCCAUGGUAUGUGUCACUACUUGCACCUUUGGCCCUAUAAUAUGCUCUACAAUAACUAAUUGUUUACUAUAUCUAUGUAGGCCGAGGAUGUUCCUGAUUUCGCCUUACAUGAGUCCUGUAUCCUUAAUACAAUUCAUUUUGUGAAAUUUGAUUUCUCAUGGGGAAAAAGUACCAGGCUGUUGCAACUUUGUGCCCAUUCCUCUCUGUGCCUGACACUCAUUUUUUUUCCUGUAAGGAAGGUAGCAGUAAAAAUAUUACAAUAUGUUGGUUAACAAAGAGUACAAAUACAACAAGUUGUGCUACGGUUUCACUCACUUUCUGCAGCACUUAAUUCAUGACCUGGGGAGAAGGAAACUGGGCUAGUUCUGGUUGCUUAGCGUAAACUUGUUGAUUUCCCUUUCUUCUAAAUAUUUCAAAUGAGUUACCACUUCUGCUUAAUUAAUCGACGAGGCAAAUCUUUUGCCUCCGUUUCAAAAAAAAAGGGUUGCCAGAUUUUACAUUUUUGAGGUUGGAGUAACAAGUACUUAAGGUUGCGAUUACUAACCAAAGUUUUUUUCUCUCAAUCCUUGAGUCGGCUUUUACAUGGUUAAAAAACUUUUGCAUUGCAUUGAUUUUUUUCCCUUUCUCUUUUAACAUAUGAGUGUUCGAGGUUAUGUUGUCUGUUGUUUUCCUAUAAGAUGUAUCAGACACACUUGGAGAAGGCUUCUCCACUGGAUACCUUGAGGAGGUGUUGCGCAGCUUUCCACUGAAUGAAGAUGGCCAGAAUAAAUCAGGUGAUGCCCUUAAUAAUGGUGAAGCAAGUGAUGGGGAGUUUGAAAUUUUCGAACAGCCUAGUGACGAUGAAGAGUAUUCCGAUGGUUAGUGGGGCCUUUUGGGGGAGUGGCAAGAUAUCCUCAGGUUAAAUUUUAUGGGCCGUUGUCGACAGUACUUUGUUCAUUAGAUUUUAGGCUCUAAGCUUGUUUAGGAUUUCAUAGCAGGUUGUUUAGCUAUCUAUGGAGCUAGAUAUUUAGCCUUGUUAACAUGAUAUUGGAUGUCACUAGAAGCAAGUUCACUAUAAUUGUCCUGUCAGCUACUCCCUCCAUCCCAUAAUAUUAUGAUGUUAUUACAUCCAAUAUGCAUUAUGGGACUGAGGGAGUAUUUCUUUACUGCUUUGUAUUCUGGCCCGUGCGUUUUCAACGGAGCGUGGUUUUGUCGUAGUGUAUUGCAGUGUUCUUGUAUUCCGGCCCAUGCGUUUUCAACAGAGCAUGGUUUCGUCGUAGUGUAUUGCACUGUUCUUGUAUUCCGGCCCGUGCGUUUUCAACAGAGCGUGGUUUCGUCGUAGUGUAUUUCACUGUUGUGUUCGUUACUGGUGUACUCUCUGUGCUGCCAGAUUACUACUCUAAGAAAAACUGUGAAGGUUGCUUCCAGUUUGACACGAUUUCUACACGGGAGCUGCGACGCGAGUCCAUAACUCCACGCUGAAAAUUGUGCUGGAUAUUGGGCGCAACAUUUCCAAUGCGAUAUAUGGGGUGCAUCUAACUGGGGCAACUAAACUUGCCUGGGAAGUUUACUCAAAACUCGCAAAAUCUUGGUAAAACGAUCAGCGUCAUCCCAUCAAUGUCAAAUAGAUGUGUACACUCCUGGAACCUAGACCAGCUACUUGUGUUCACCAGCAAUUCAUCAAACAACCUUAAAAGCGCAUGAAGUACAGACUAGUCGUAUUUCACCAUUCUAGGCGAUCGUUUUCCAUUGGGUUUCCGAACACAUGUCAUGACUUCACUUCCGCGGUACAUCUCAAUAAAACAUCAAACAUAACAUCCAUAAAUAAGCCGAUCACCAAGCAAACUAAGGUGAUAUUUUGCAAGAGAAUGAUAAUCUAGUCACUGUCCCAUGUAUCCCUUUUUUAUUAUCUGAGCUCCUCGCACAAAAAAUUGGGUAUUCAUAUGUUCGGUGUUUCUUCUUUGUGCAAAGGAUCCAAAUAGGCAAGUGCAUUUUACUAUGUCCUCGAAGGUGUUCCAUAGAUAAGCAAAAAAAGGGUUUCAUUUUGGAUUCCCCAAUUUUGAAAAAUUGCAUAUUAAUUUCCUUCCGCGGUACAUCUCAAUAAAACAUCAAACAUAACAUCCAUAAAUAAGCCGAUCACCAAGCAAACUAAGGUGAUAUUUUGCAAGAGAAUGAUAAUCUAGUCACUGUCCCAUGUAUCCCUUUUUUAUUAUCUGAGCUCCUCGCACAAAAAAUUGGGUAUUCAUAUGUUCGGUGUUUCUUCUUUGUGCAAAGGAUCCAAAUAGGCAAGUGCAUUUUACUAUGUCCUCGAAGGUGUUCCAUAGAUAAGCAAAAAAAGGGUUUCAUUUUGGAUUCCCCAAUUUUGAAAAAUUGCAUAUUAAUUUCCUUCAUAUGAACAGAAAAAUAUGAUGACUCAAAGAAGUCCUCUACUAGAAACUUCGUAUAUUGUACAUGACAUGACUUAGCAAAAGAAAUUAAGAUAAAGAUCGUCGGGAUAGCAAUAUUUUCCAUCUGGGUAUUACUCAUGUCAAGAGAUUAUUUAGACAAUUAGCAAAAGAAAUUGUAUGGCUGAAUUGCAAGAAAUCUACUAUAAAAAGGAAAGAAUGUGGGAAAAAAUUAGCAAAAGAAAUUGUGUGGCUGCUGGGAUUCGAGCCCAGGUCUCCACGGCCACAACGUGGAAUUCUCACCACUAAACUACAGCCACAAUCAUGUGCAAUUUUAGCGGGAACCCUCUCUACACACUUUCUUCUGUUGAUGUCACACUACAUAGGCCCGUGAUAAAACCUAAUUAGAGCACGAGUAUUUCCCACUAAAAAAUAAACCUAGGGUCAAAUUGUUGGCAUGUAGACAAAAAAAUGCUAAAACCUAGAGAACGAGUGUUUCCCACAAUUUUUUUAACAUACUUAACCACUAUCUUAAUACCUAUAAAUAAACUAGAGCAUGCCACAAGUCACCAAAGAGCAGACUAUAGACGUACUCCCUCCGUCCCAUAAUAUAAGACGCUUUCUGACACUACAGUAGUGUCAAAAAACAUCUUACAUUACGGGACGGAGGGAGUAGUUGUGAAGCCGAGGACACAAUGUGUGCACUGAAGGCCGAUAGACAAGCCAACAUAUUGAGGCGGUUUUCGCAAAAUAAAAAAUAAUUGAGGUGGUAACAACUGCUUAAGGUGCUCAAACAAUUAGAGUAGGAACAAUGCAAAAAAAAAAAAUUGAGUAGCAACGGAUAGUAGGGGAAGGAACAAUGCAAUUUUUUGCUUUGAACAUUAAUUGAACUGCGAAUAGCAGCUUAUUUACAUCAGCAUUUGUCCUUUUUUCUUCAAAUUCAGACUUGUAAUUUGGGCUGCCCUAUAUACACCUUGUAUAUCGCUCAAUUGCACCUAAUUGCAUGGCACUUACUCCCACCACACAGCCGGCCAUCAUCUACUAAAACAACACCCUAUCGUUGACUUCCCUAAUGUCCAUAGCAAUGGGUCUCAAUCUGGGCUACGAUAUUAAUUAAAUGUAUCUCUGGUAAAUAAAAUGUUCUUUACAGAUUGUCUUUGCCUUGUAAAUGGAACCUUAUUUCCCAUAUUUCAUCAUCCAAAGUAAAAAACAAACUUUAGUAAAAUAGCAUAAUUAUUUGCUACACCAAUCCCAUAAUUAGUAACACACCUGAAACAGAUAAACUAGUCACUAACAUCCUUGAUAUCAUGUUAAGAAAUACUCCCUCCGUCUGAGAAAACUUGUCCCAAGCUUGUCCCUCAAAUGGAUGUAUCUAGCAUUAAGUUGGUGCUAGAUACAUCCAUUUAAGGGACAAACUUUUUCGGACGGAGGGAGUACAUAUAUAAAUAUAUAAGCUUAUUUAACACCAAUUGUAACAGCUUCAAUGUCAAGCAUAUAAAAACCAAGAUCUAAUUUCCGACAUACAUAUAUGUUAAUACUAUACGCAGAUAAACAUAUACUCCCUCUGUAAAGAAAUAUAAGGUCUAAACGCUCUUAUAUUUCUUUAGAGAGGGAGUACUAUGGAAAUAACUAAUUUCAGAUAACAUGUUCAAAAUGAACAUAUAUAUAAUUUGAUUAAUCCCCAAUUUUAAAACACUAACACUGAGCCCAAUUUUAGAGAACAUUCUCAUCCCAUUGCACUAGAACCCUCUGUACAGAGGACAUGUUCAUCCAGUUUCAGAGAACCUUGUACAAACAUGACAUGUUCAUCUAAUUUCCCCCAUAAUCUUCCCAAACCCUAAAUCUCUAUUUCUCCUAUUACCCUGAAAUCAAAAUUAAAAAAAAAAGACAGAGAGGAAAGAGAGAGGAGUUGGACUUACAUGCCUGCCGCCAAGUGGGGAAGCCCAGCUGUGGUCGCCGGUCGGAUCAACCACAACCACUCUGGCCAAAGACGUCACCGCACAAUAUACGGGGGACGACUAGAGCGGUUCAAAGGUGUUUCAUAGAUAAUUUUUCGUUCGGGUAUUAUACUCAUGUAAAGAGAUUAUUUAGACAAUUGGAAGGAGAAGCAAAAAGAAACUAACUUUUCUUGAGCCGUAAAAAAACCACUAACUAGACAUGUUCUAUUGUGGCCAUAUGGGCAACAUAUCUCUUUAGCCUUUUCAAUGAUCUUAAAGGCUCCAAAUCUCUAAUAAGCUUGUCACGGUGCCUGAGUACUUGAUAGGAAAAUGUCCCUCAAUCCACUCUUGUUUUUUUUGGAAAAAUACUCUUUUUAUAAUUUAUUCUCAUCAUAGAAACUUGCUCAAAGCAGGUUAAAAUCCAUUUCAGAUUAAUAGCAACUGAGAUUUUUUGCAUGAAAAAGAAUAAUCUAAUCAUCUGGCAGUGCAAGAAGAGUACUGUGAAAAAGAAAAAUGUGAGAAUAAAAACCUAGCAAAAGAAUUGUGUGGCUGCUGGGAUUCGAGCCCAGGUCUCCACGGCCACAACGUGGAAUUCUCACCACUAAACUACAGCCACAAUCAUGUCCAAUUUCGAGCUUCCAAGUUACAAGUAUGCAAAUAUCUCUUUCAAGACCUUCUUUACACACUUUCUUCUGUUGCGACGUGAGGUUGGCAUUUAGACCAAAAAUGCUAAAAUCUAGAGAAACAAAAACAAACUUAACCACUAUCUCAAUACCUGUAAAUAAACCAGAGCAUGACUGCAUGCCACCAUGCUUGGCUCCAGCUAUUCAGCUUUAUAUUCAGCUUCUUUUAAAUUUCAUACCACUGCGCCAUUCCCAGCUUACUCUCUUACUCUGUUUUGAUUGACGCCUUGAGCUUCAGCCUACAAAGGGAAAAGGGAAGUAAGAUAUGUGGUUUAUCUAGUUCAAAAUCAAAAUGAUCAUAAAUGCUACAUUAUUCCAUUCACACACACACACACACACACACACACACACACACACACAAAUUGUGUGAUUGUUCCUGUAAAAAAAGAUAGCAAGUGUGCCAGCUCACUGAGGCCUACAUUAUAUCCAUCAUUUGACUAUAUGUAUGAUAUUAAAAAUAGGGGCAUAUUCAGGGACUAUUUCUUGACUAUUUCUAACUUAAGAAUAUAAUUUUGUCAAUACAUGAUAUUUACCUUAUAUGGGAACAAAGGUUUUCACCUGAGCAUCCGCUUCUUGAAUAAUUCUGUCAGCCUAGAUGUCUAACAUCUGAUAGAGGAGCACCCUCUACCAUACCACCUAGAGGUAAAAGUAAGUAAAUAAAAAUCCUAAUGCAUGGCAAAAUUCAGAAGAAAGCAAAGUCUAGCCUUUACCACUUCACGUUGACUCCCACGCCAAUGUCAACUUGUCAAGUAACAACAGCGCCUCUAUCUCCAAGUUGUUAACUGAAAGCCCAGCGAAUCAAAGUUCUGAAGCGAACUGACAAAGCAACAGAAGUUAAGAGGAACUUUGAUUCGCCAUCAUAAGGUAUGUAUAACCAUCUUACCACGCCACAAAAUUCAUCAUGUAGCAAAAUCUAACAAACCUAUUCAACCGCGGUACCUCGGUCAAAGUUAUGCAAGUACACACAGAAUGAAGCACGAAUAUAUGGAAGUUUUUGUGAGAAUAAUAUCCAAAGAAACAUGAAGCACUAAUAUGCAGAUUUUCAUGACCGCAGUCUGCUAAGUAAAACAGUGUGAAUAACAACAUACUCAAAUGACUCCAAUGCAUACAGAAAUCGCAAAUGCAAUACCGCAGAGAUCACAUUCCCCGCGCUUGCUGCUGCUUCCCAGCUGCAUGACGCCCGUCGCCUUCCAUGGUUCCUCGCUUGAGGCAUCCUCCUCCGCCAGCGCCAUCCCUUUUGAACUCCUACUGCUUAAAUAGCAAGUACUCCACGUUCUACAAUAAAAAUAUAAAGUGCAGGUUCAGGACUGAUUUAACUCUUCUUUACAAAAAUAAUAGUGAGGGAAGGUGCGAGUGUCUGAGUGAUAUAACACACAUAUAUUAACGAUCAGUGCGAUAAAUCAAACGGGUGUGAAAGGGACCAUUAUUUAAUUUUCCAAUAUGAAUUUCCUAAUACAAUGUUGCAAGUCCUGAUUACAGUUUCACCUUCAAGACCGAACAACCGUGGCCAAAUUAUAGAUAGAUUUAACAUAUUGCACAGUCGCUGAUAACUAAUCAUCCUGCAGGAGCAAAUCACAUGCAAUUAGUACAGCUAGAUUGCAAGAAAUGUACUGUUAAAAAGAAAGAAUUUGAGAAAAAAAACACUGAAAAGAAAUUGUGUGGCUGCUGGGAUUCGAGCCCAGGUCUCCACGGCCACAACGUGGAAUUCUCACCACUAAACUACAGCCACAAUCAUGUACAAUUUGAGAUGCCAAGAUACAAGUGUUAAAAUUGAGGCGCCGCUCUAUGCCGAUAGACAAGCCAACAUAUUGAGGCGGUUUUCGCAAUAAAUAAAUAAAUAAAUAUUGAGGCGGUAACAUAGCUUAAGGCGAGCAAACAGUUGGAGCAGGAACAAUGCAAAUUAUGCUUUGAACAAUAUUUGAACCGUGAAUGGCAGCUUAUUUACAUCAGCAUUUCUCCCUUUUGCUCCAAAUUCAGACUUGUAAUUUUGUUCUCUAAAAAUCGCUCGACUGCACCAAAUUGCAUAGUCCCACCACACAGCCGGCCAGAAUCUACUAAAACAGCACCCUGACGUUGGCCUCGCUAAUUUGCGACCUGUGUAUAAACCUGAUCUCAUCUUAUAUGCUUGGAUGGAUAUGAAAUGCCAACUUCCUAAUACAAUAGAUUUGCUGGUAAAUCUUCGUCAAUCUGACAGUCACAUCCCACUACUUCAUAAGACUAUCUGGUCAUAUAUAGUCUUACCAAACCGCAAUGUAUAUGGUUGAAACGGGCGGUGGUACACUGCAGAAUACAGAUCAUGGGCUACCGGUGUCAGCAACGCAGCUCCAAGCAGGCACCUUCUGCGCAUCCAUCACUGCCAUCGAGCGUCUAAUAUGCUCCACCUCACGCCAUCUAUCACCACUGCCUGCUUGCACAUUACUAUACACCACAUGGUAGCCAACAUUAUCUGGUUCCAACUCCAUAAGUUUCUGAGCUGCAAGAGAUGCCAGCUCGACAUUCGAAUGCGUUCUGCAUGAUGCAAGGAGAGCACCCCAAAUUCUUCCAUCUGGCUUAACAUUCAUGCCACUGAUCACCUGGACGGCUUCAUCUAGGUCACCCGAACGGCCAAGGAUGUCCACCAUGCAAGUGUAGUGGCUUAGCUCCGGUGUGAUGCCAAACUUCCUAACCAUGCAAUCAAACAAUGCACGGGCUUCACUAACAAGCCCUGAGUAACUACACGCUGACAGCAAGCUCAGGAAGGUCACUCCGUUUGGCAUCACUCCUUCCGCAAGCAUUUGGUCAAACAAUGCCAGAGCUUCCCUGCCAUUGCCAUGAAUCGCGUACGCUUCAAUCAUUGAACUCCAUGCGACGAUGUCUCUCUGCUGGAUGUUGUUGAAGCACCAUCGUGCCAAAUGGAUGUUCCCGCAUCUAGCAUAGAAUUUAACAAUGGAUGUCUCCAAGUAACAAGUAUUCUCAUAUUGCGCACCAGCAUGGCUGUUUCGUAUGAUGUAUCCAUGAGCUGAUUUACCUAGCCGUGAAGCACCUAAUUCCAUGUAACUGAUGACCAGCCCUUGAAGCAUGUCAGCGUUGAUAGCUAGCUGAGAGUUCAGCAUUCGCCCAAACAGAUGGACUACUUGUAAGAACUGCCCAUGGUGGAUGAGAGCCCACAUCAUGGCUGACCAUAUGCAGCUGCCUGUUCCCCUGAAUUCCUCAAACAGCUUGGCGGAAGAUUCCAUUUCACCGCAUUUAGCAUAAAAACCCAGAAAGGAUGCCACCAAGACUGGAUCACUAAGCCCACUCCUAAUCACGAAACAAUGGAGCCUUUUUCCUUGCUCAAGACACCUGUGCUUGGCAAACGCAGCAACCAGGGCAGUUAAGGUCUGGCAGGUUGGACACACUUCCUCUCUUCUCAUCCUCUCAAACAUGUCAAUGACUUGACCAACGUUCCCCUGCGAUGAAAACUCCGAGAUUAUAAUGUUCCAGGAAACCGCAUCUCUUCCUCCCGGAGACAGCUCGAACAGCCUCACCGCGUCGUCCAAGCCAGUCGUCAUCCUGCUCAAGUGCGUCAGUAUUGAGUUGAGAACCAGCGGCUCUUCGCUUAAACCGCUCUUCAUCGCAUAGCAGUGUAGCUGUCUCCCCCCGGGAAUGCCCCUCUCGGCAGUACACAGACGAAGCAGGACGGCGAGCGUCACCGCACUCGGCUUGCACCCGUCCAUCCGCAUCUUGGUCACCAGUCCGGACACCUCCCUUCUGUCGCCUGUGCCAACGUAGGCAGAUAUCAGCGAUGUCCAAGAAACCACGUCCCUUGCAGUCAUUUCGUCGAACAGCUGCCGCGCGGAGGCGACCGCGCCGUGCCUCACGUAGGCGUCGACGAGGGUGUUGCAGAAGUACAGGUUGAGGGCGAAUCCGGUCCGGACGCCGACCGAGUGGGCGGCCCCGACGAGGCCAGCGACGGCGAGCGAGGCCGCCGCGCGGUUGAGCAGCGGGAGCGUGAAGCCGUCCGGGCGGGCGCCAGCGCGGAGCAUGGCGGCGAAGGCGGAGACGGCCGCCGCCGGGAGGCCGGAGUCGAGGCGGUCUCUGAUGGCGGCGUUCCAUUGGGGGGCGGUGCCGCAGGCGGAGGUGGCCGGAGGCGGUGAGCCGGGGAGAAGGAGGCAACGCUGGGCCGCCGUAGGUAUCAGCGAAGCGGGUGUUGGACGAAAUGCGGAAUAGGAAAAAGGAGCCAUCUUUGAGUAGGAGUCCGACGUCGGUCCGUAUCCACGAGCCAGGCCCGAUAAAUAUACAAGGAAAAGGCAGAAGCUCUCGACCUCCUCCGGCUGCAAUCUUCCGAUCACCCGAACCAUGCUCGCCGGCGCGAUGGAGGAUGACGGCGGCCACGCCGAGACCCGCCGCAAGCGCACCCGCGGCACCCCGCCCGGCCUGAAGCGCCCACCCCCGCCCCGCGAGGAAGGCGACCCCUACGACGAGCUCCUCGACUACGACUCCGACACGUACGAGCACCGCUGGAAGCGCCGGCGUACGUACAGGCUCAGCGAGUGCGUCUUCUUCGGCAACGGCAAGUACACCGGGCGGCCGGCCGGGGAGGUGGCCAGGGACUGGGAGCUCAUCACGGCCGAGCGCCGCCGCUUCUUGUCCAGCGACGAGCCUCUGCGGCUCAACCGCCGCCCCCGGUUCGCCGGGCUCGGCAGCGUCGAGGAGCGCCCGCCCAUCUAUCGUCAGGCGGCCUUGACUAAUGAAGGAAGCGAUGUCGGCGUUGGUUCCAGACCAUUAGCAUCUCCAACUCCAAGGCAGACACUGUUGCGGAUUCUUCAAAACUACAUCCAAUUUCUAGAACAGUGUCGUGUGCGGUGAUCUAUAUUUCUGUAGACAUUGUUGCUGAUUCUCUCACUAUACUAGUAAUGUAGGAAACGUAUGUCCCAGUCCUCUAUGAUAUGUACUGGUGUUUUGUAUAGUAGUAAUAAGGAGUAUAUAUGAAAACAAGUAUUAGUAUAUUCAACCGAUCGAUGAAGAUGUAUAUUCAUCCCCAAGAUAGAGUACAUAUUCUCGAUUGUACAAGGUUUCUGGAACAGUGUUGUUUGCCCUGAUCUAUGUUUUUUGUUGUCUGUUUUUCUUUCUGCUGGGAAAUACAUUUUGGAGCACCUCUGCAACUGUACACAUUGUUGCUGAUUCUCUCACUAUACCACUAAAUGAAGGAAACCGUAUGUCAAGUGUGCUAGUCUGUCUGUCUCUGUUUCUAUGAUAAGGAUGGCAAUGGGUCGGGUUUGGAUCGGUUUGAACAAUAUCAAAUCUAUAUCCACGUCCAUGAAGACGGUCUUUGCCCGCCCAUGGAAAAAAUCCAUGGGUGAAAAAUUGUGUCCAUGUCCAGACCCGAUGGAUAUCCAUACCCACUGGAUAUCCAUUGGGUCCUCUCGAGACAUAUAAAUAAGACAUAACACAAUGUUAACAUAAGUUCUUCCAUUCUUCACCUCGUGACACAGGCUAGGCCUCACUUAUGGUAAACAUGAACUUAUGGUAAAUCAACGUCCACUAACAAUCAAAGAUCAUUUACUAUUUUUCUAAUAGAUGAGAAUGAUGAGUCAUUUAAGAAGGAGAUAAAAGAAGUAUGGGAAGGGGUAUUGGAGUAUGUUACGGAGGCGAUUGAAUGUCAACUAAUAAAAGUUAUGACGGAGGUUUUAUAUAACAAAGUGUAAAAUUGCAGUGGGACAUCUAACUGUGGCGCAGGGAUAGUAGAUUUUUGCCCAUUAAGUCAUACUAUCGGGUCGGUUUGGGUAUACCCACGGGUACAAGAUUAUACCCAUACCCUACCCACGAGCAAUCGGGUCGGGUUUGGGCGCCACCCGUGGACACAAAAUCAUAUCUAAACCCUAUCCAUUCGGGUCGGAUAUCCAUGGGUAUCCAUGUUCAUGGGUAAAAUUGUCAUCCUUAGUAGAGAAAAGAGAUACCUCCCGUGCAUGGGUCCCAUGCAUGGUUCAAUCUCUCUUCCCCAUUCCCUCUUACACUGUACAUUUAAUUCUCCACUAUCCAUGUCAUUUUCAUAAGAUUUUAAAGCUUGAAUAUAAUUUAUGCAUUGAAUUAAAAGUUUAAUUUAUGAUCCGUUGGCAUAUUUGUGUUCCUUGAAAUUAAUACUUUGAAAUAAGACCGCUCUUGAAUACAUUUUACAAGAAAAUACCCUGAUACACAUAGUUGUAGAUGGACCUGAUAAAAUGGUUUCCGGGAAAAAAUAGCAAUUCACGAAAAAAGUCAAAAAUCUUGGAAACUUUUUUUCAAACAAGCUUAACCUACUGCCGUACUCGUAUAAAAAAUUUGACAAAGAAAAACUCCUGCAAAAAAUUUGAGCAAAAAGACAAUUUACCCAGGGCAAUAAGUCUAAUGUAGUGCUGAUUUUGUUUUCUUGCCAACAAUACCUCGAAAGUUAUUUCUUUGCAAAAAAAAAUUUACACGAGUGCAACACUUGAGCAAGCAAAAAAGUAAUAUGAUUUUUCAACCAUUUGUAAAUUGAUUAGUUUGUAAAAAAACUGGUGCACCUACCCAUAUUUUUUAAUUCAAAUUUGAAACCUUGUCAAAAUAUUCAAGAUUGGUUUCGUUUGGAAGGCUUCAAUAUCAGAAACACAAAUGUGCAAACAAAUCCUAAAUCUAAUUUCAUGUUCAAAAGAUAAAGUCAAAAUAUUAGAUUGAUACAAUAUUUAAAUCAUAUGAAAAAGUAUGGGUGAGUUGUACUGUUUGGUACGAAUCCCAGUGCAGCUACCAAUGGCUCGACCAUGCACGGGACCUCCCAUGCACGGUAGUUAAUCCGCUCUCAACUCUCAUGAUAUGUACUGGUGUUUUGUAAUAAGGAGUAUAUUCAACCGAUGGAGAUGUAUACAGUAUACUCAUCCACAAGAUAGAGUACAUAUGUGCAUCAGGAGGAGUAUAUAUUCUCGAUUGUACAAGUGCAAAAGAAACACCAUGUACGUACCAUCCACAUGGAUGUGAUGUAUGUUUGGACUCGAAAUAAACUGAAGUUGACUAAAUAUCAGACGUGUCGACCGUUUCAAAAGUAAAUAAAUAUCGGACGUGUCGUUACAUACAUCCAACAACAUCAACAAACAAGAUUCCAAAUCAUAUGAGUCCAUCACGAGCACACCGCGCCAUCAGGCCAAACAAGCCGCUGUAGUCGAACACCACCGGAGCCGGCCGCAACGAUCCAUCAUGCCGAUCCAUGGACUGGAGCCCUGGUGGGAGGACUUCAAUUGACACACUAGGCACGUAAAAGAAGCACAUGUGGCUGUCAAAGACUGAUGUAUCUUGGUACAGUAUUUUGUUGUCCACUAAUGCUAUGUAGUCUGUAGCUUGUUCGAGUCCCUGGGAGAAUUCUGUGCGAACCAACGUCACGCGCGAAUGUUGCAAGGGGGGCGCGCGUGUCACCGCAAGCUGGCACCACGACGAGUGCUUCAACAAGCUGCCACCAUCUUCGCCGUUUCGCAGUUGCAGGGCUGCCCUCGCCGCCGCAACAAUGCAACCACCAUGCUCCGCUGCCGUUGCAGCAACCACCGUAUUGCCAGGCUCGCCACCACAGCAAUGCAACCACCAUGCAACCACCAUGCUCCGCGGCCGUUGCAGCAACCACCGUGUUGCAGGGCUCGUCACCACAACAAUGCAACCCACCAUGCUGUAAGGCGCCGUCAUAGCCAUUACCUCUGCUCCGAGUUGCAACCCUCAUUGCAACUGCGACCCUAUAUCUACGACGGGGGAACACGUGUGCGUUGUGUAGGUGGAGACGAUGAAGGGGCAUGGAGUGUGGUGGAAAGCGUGCAUGUGGGGACUUUUUGUUGCGGACCGAGAGAUUCAAUCAGACGGCUUGCGUGAGCGACCAGACGAGGGAUCUGCAGGCUAGUGCCUAGCACACUCCUUGUAUGAUUGCGUCACAUGAAAAUGAAAGAAAUUUUCCAAUAGGCUGGAGUGGAUUUAUUGUGGAAUGUAGUACAAAUAGUUUUCUUUAUAGAAAAGAGAUAUCCUAUAGGAUCAGUCCUAUGAAUAAAACGUUCAACGUAUGAAAAAAUCCUAAGGAUUUUAAUCCACCAAAAAUCCUUUGAAUCAAGAAAAACACUUAUAUGCGCUUGACUGAUUUUAGUUGUUGCGUCAAUCGUCUCCUGCGUAUGACACACGACCAAUGGUCCACCCAUCGCUUUUCCCUUGUCUCGAAUCUUUUCUACCCAGUCGUCUUCCCUUGGCCCCCAUCUUGUUCUGCUCACAACUCUACCACCUCCUGUGUAUGCAGCUUCUCCAGCACUCACACGAAGCCCCUACAAGACUCUGUUGCUGGCUUCUGCAAAGGGGGACGCAUUGCCUCUGCAUGGCUGCUCGUUGGGUCACUGUUGAGUGGCAUCCUUUGGUGCUAGGGCAUGUACCAUCUGUCGUGGACCCUGCCUUGCUGGGGAAACUCCCUCAACUCCCACAGUCACCGAUGUCGACGUUGUGAGCCGGUGCUGCCAAUGGAGGCCGCAGGCGGGGGUCGCGUGAUACUGCUUUGCAACACCACCGGGACGGCGGCAGCUGCAAACGGGCUGCGAUGAGCUAUGACCAUAUGCUACGAGUCGGAGGUAAUGCUGCGAACUCGGGGCGGAAGAGCUGCAAGCACAUACUCUGGCGGACGGCAGGGGCUGCGAAGAUGGGGGGCGGUGAUGUGAAGGGGGCGUUAUUGAGCCGCUAGUGAGCCCCUAUUGCAGUGCUGCCGCGUGCCGCGAGGGCGUCGUCAAGGACCACUGAUGUUGUGAAGCCGGUGCUGCAAGGCCCACUGUUGUUGUGCGUUGGUGCUGUGAGGCCUGCUGAUUUUUCGAGGCACUGCCAGCAAGGUGGUGUUGCGAGGCGCUGGAUGUUGAAAGGCAGUAUUGUGAGGUGCGCGCCAGCGAGACAGUACUGCGAGGGCCGUCGGCCUGCGAGUCAAUGUUGCAAGGGUCGUUGAUAUUGAGAGGCGUUGCGUGUGUGUGGGAUUCGGGAGCAUGACGAACGAUUGUGAUGAUAACAAUCCAACGAUUGCCGAGGUGGCUGGUAGCCCCAUCUACUCCCUUUGUAAUAAACAACGACACUUAUUUUAGGAUGGAGGAAGUAUAAUUCAGCCGGCUGACACUAUAGUAGGCGCUUUUUUUAUUUAUAUUUUGAAAUACUAUAGCGCCUUUGAAUCAUUGAGAGAGGUCGGAUUUGGAUGAUAUCAAGACGAGUCCUACUCGGUACGUAUCCAUGAGCCAUGCUGGAUAAUAAAAUGCACACCAGAAGCUCUCCCUCCGUUUGCAAUCUUCCUAUUCUGAACUAAAACCCCAAACCCUAAUCGCCAACGCCAUGGAGGAGGACAGCGACCGCGCCAAAAACACAGGUCCGGGCGACUGUUUACCAAAAACACAGGUCUUCGCAAAGUCGUAAGACCAUGUAUGGGGGCUGACGCCUGCCCAGUGUUGGAAGGUCAAGGAAGUUGAUGAACUGAUGAAGUGUGGUAAUCUUUCUCGCUUUUGGAAAAUGUUGCCUUGCUUGCCCGCGUCUAUGACUAUGGAACAUAUAGGAAGGCAUCACUGUCCGUCGCAUUACCAUCGACGGGCCGGUCGACCCGUUCGUCAGUGGUGAGCCUUGUGGGAAAUUUAAUACUGUAACUGGUAGUCACACCUUUGUUAAUGCCGUGGAUGCAAAUGAAGCCCUCCCAGCGCUUGGCCCUCGUCCUCGACAAUGCAUGCAUGGCACCUUUCGCGUCAAAACUGGAUUCAUGAAUGCCAUCUCACUACGCUACAUCAUUUAUUUAUUUUUGAUCAGAGAAGCUCCGAUUUUCAUUAAGGGAAACCAACAGCGAACUAGAAGAACCAGCUAUCUUACAAAGAUAAAACAUUACGCUACAUCAUUACCAGUAGCAUGCUAUGAUCAUCGAUGUGCUUCAUGAACUCUACGCAGACGAGCCUUCCUCUGACAUGGCCUCUGGCCGGAGCGCAGCAAGGUCCUCUCGCUUGGCUCCAAGAUCAGUGGCAAAGCAUGUUGGCUUCCUCCAACAGUUGGCACCAUUAGCCUCAACAACAUUUAGACGACUACUGCCCUACUAUGUGAAGGCAGAACUAGUGAGGCACUCACGGAGGGCAGGCUCGACGAUGGCAUGCUAGAGUUAUUGGAAGACAAGCCCCACAUGCCAGCGGAGCUGUUGACUAUGGAUAUAAUGUGGUGUUGAACAGCUGAAGCACCACUAGCACUAGGCAGUGUUCCCUCCUAGCGGCCACCAUAUCACCACCCUUGUUGCCCGCCGACGACACAGUGCUCAUGGUGCAGCCGAUCUUUCUCGAGUGACCUACCCGGCCCGCAUUAUAUAGUCAGGCAGACGUCUACCCUAGCCGUCGCUGCAUCGUAUCGUUUCGCACCACCGUUCUAGAGCAUUGUGCCGCCACGCAAGUCUUCUCCAUCCCUCCUUCCGGCGUGCACCGCGAGAAGGGACAGCAGUCCUCCGGAACCCCGCCUCUCGUGAUCCUGUACGGAAGAGGGGCGAUCAGGUUUUUGGGGAGCGCACUCGCGCGACUGCCGGCAGCGACGACUUCGCCAACGACGACUUCUUCCCCGACCUCGGCAACCUCAUCCUCAACGACAUGGGCGACAACAUCGACGCCGGCGGUGCUGCUCCCGCUGCACCAUAUGUGAUUCUAUCCUUCCUGUCCGAGAUCGUGGUAGAAUUCAUGUUUCUAGUAUGUGCCCUAGAUGUGAUCCGUUCAUCUACUAUGCUAGUUCGCAUGAUUAGUUUCCAGUAUCUUUCUAAAAAGGUUGUUAAAAAGAUACAAGAUUUUUAAUCAUAAAAAUAGAUUUUUUUUGUCUGGAAAAGAACAUUUUUGUAUAGUCUCCUUUGGACGCAGGUACUUGCGCUCCUAUUUCAUCACUAUUUCUUGCCAUACAUGUCAUGGUAUUGAUCCCUGUUUUAUUACUAUUUAUAUCUUAUCAAACUUGUCUUUUAUUUUAUUUUUUGUCAUGCAUGCCUCCUUUUUACUUUUUUUCAUGCAUGUCCUCCUUUUCUUCUUCUUAUAUAUGAGAAUAGCGCAACAUCUCAUCUUUAUCGGACCUCCUCUGCAUUUUCUCUUUUAUUUCUUUUGUAGUGGGCAUCCCAUCUUUAUUGGGUCCUUCUUUUAUUUCUUGUCACGCAUGUCCUUAUUUAUUGGGUGUCUCUAGCAAAUUCCUCUUCAAUUUCAUGUCCAAUCCUGAUUUUGCCGAGGUGUUCAUCCCCAAUCUGAAUCAGUAUCGGUAUGAAAAAAAGACAGAUAAUGCAUUGUUGAUUAACAUUGCAGCCUAGAUAGUAUUUUUAAAUUUUUAACAUGUAAAAUAACAUCAUAUUCAGAUUCUACAUAUUUUUCUAAUCAAAUUCCAUAUAUAACAUGUUAAAUUUGGAGUUACGGUUUAGAAAAUAUGAGUAUUUUAAAAAACAUUUGAUAUGUACUGUGGGUUUAAUGUUAGAAAUAUUAUGGGGUUUUUUCUAUAAAAAUAGCAAAACGGACUAAGAAUAUCUAUUUCUUUUAUUUGUCAAAAAAGAGAUUGUAGUUCAUGGUAAUUGUUUCUAGGUAUGUACUUUUUUUUAAGUAAAUUCCCCCAGGUACUUACCCAAACUCUAUGCGGAGUUCUUGUUGUUUUUGCGUAUUUUUGGAAUCCUGAGACUCUAUCACCGUGUUUGCCAUAUUUACACGACUACUUCCGCGACUAGAUUCAAGUCCAGGCAGAAAAUCUAUACAUAUAUCGAUCACAAACCGCAGGACAAGGAAGAGCAUACCAGCUAGCCAUGGCGCUACCGGAAAAGUUGGACGGCGGCCGUACCAUCGUGAUCGAGGCCAUCCCGCCAGGCACUGGCAUCGGGGACCUCAUCGGCGCCUUCUCUCCUUUCGGCGCCAUCCGGUUUGCCUCCGUGGGUCCGCCCGCCGUCGUCAGCUUCGAGAGCGAGGCUGCCGCGGCGCACGCGCUGCUCCUGGCGUCCAUGAUGAAGGGCGUCAGCCUCCUCGGCGAGUUCAGGGAGAAGCACCCGCCCGGCGGCGUGUGUCCAUCGCCAACGCCGCGGCGUGCCUGCGCCGAUGAACCCGCUCCGUUGAACUUGAACAACCCCGCCGCGACGGCGCCGUACGUGCAGACGCCCGUCCCUCCGCCGGCGUCAGAGAGUCUGGCGAUCGAGGCUGGGACGACGCCGCCAACCGAGGCUGCAGUGCCGGAGAGAUAUACCACUCCGAACGACGCUUCCGCCGCCGCACUCCGGACUGCAACCAGACUGAGCGAGGCAAGGCGCACCAUGGAUUGGAUUGCGGAGAACAUGAUUCUCGAGUGCAUGGUCCUGGAGGGACACGUGGACGUCAUCAAGCAGAUACAAGAUCAGCUCGCCGAACACAUGAGAGGCUUGAACAUCCAUCCGGCUACAGUCCAAGUUUCUGCCAUGGCAGAGGCCCCGUGGAGAAAGAAGGUCACGAUCGAAUACAGAACGGGAGUAAAAUCCUGCAGCGGCGCACACGCCGGUUAGUGGUUAGAUAGACGGUAGCAGCUACCGUUUGUUAAAUAGCGAUGGCAAUUGGUAGGGUAUGGGCGGGUACAACCACCUUCUGCCCAAAUCCAUACCCAUAGAAAAAUUUUAUACCCUCUCACUUCAAUACCCAUGGGCAUAAAUUGGUACCCAUGCCCAUGCCCAUGCCCAUCGGGUAUGUUAUACCGAAUGGGUAUCCAAUGGGUACAAUAUAUAACAUUGAAUUUUUUGAAAGUUCAAAAAAUAAGUUUAAAAUUUAAGUGAUGAUGGAUGAGCAGCACUGACGCUGGCUCCUCCGAUGAGUGGACUCUUCAAGGCAUCCAUCGAGUAUGAUCAACGAUUGGUGGAAGCCCAGUGUGGUGGGAGGCAGUGGUGGGAAUGAGGGGUCGCUAGAUCGAUAGGUGGAAACAUGAGUCCGAUAGUGAAGAGUCGAGAUUUCAUCUUUUCGAGGAGUCACAUAGGAUGUAGGAGCAGUGGUGGCCUAUGAGCUAUGGCCAACUUAAGGCAUACGAGAUUUAGGGUGGGCCAUAGGAGUUGGAUGUUGACCCCACAUGUCAUAGGACUUAUUUUAACUAAUUAUAUUUUUCUGGGUAUCCAUUGGGUUACCCAUGGACAAAAUUUCAUACCCAUACCCUACCCAUAUAUUUUGCAGGUAUGGGUACCCAUUACCCGUGGGUAUAAAAUGUCUCCAAAUCUUGCCCAUGCCCAUUGUUUUCGGGUAGGGUACCCACGGGUACCCAUAUCCAUGGGCAAAACUGCCAUCCCUAUGUCUAAACAUGGCUGCAUAAAUAAAUUAGCUAAAAGGGCCGCAGUUUGUGGUUUUCUAUUGUAUUUUCGCAUGCACUUAAUUUGGACCAUGUCAUUAUCUUUUUUUGCUAAUUUUUAGUUAAUUGCUUGGAAGUUUUGACAAUCUCAAUCGCCAAAAAAGGGGUGUUUGAACAUGUGCAUCCGGUGAAUAUUUAUUGCAAAUUUUAGAUACAGAAACAGAGGGAGGGAGGGGAUUGUUGGAUGUUCAUCCAAAGGCUAAAAAGACUGAAUUUUGUUUUUAUGCCACACAACUCACGCCCCCUUAUUGCUUAUACUUGGCAAUGGCGGCGUAUUUUGUGUCGUUACCUUGACUAAUGUUUGCUUGGAGUUUGCUCGAAUCAUGAUCUUCAGGGUGAAAGCCCAUGAUCUGACGUUUGAUGCUUAGAUCCGACGAUGACGGCAUGCACAUGUAUUCCAUUCUUUGAGGCAUCGUCUUUGGAAAACCUUUUGUCAUAUCUAUGUGUUGUCAAAAGAUUGUUCGUACAAAUGGUCACUGGGGUAUAUCAUCGACUGUUGUUUUGAUCGCUUCGGGAUUUUUCUUCUUCUUCUUUUUCUUUAUUAUGCGCCUAGGCAUAGCUUCGGUCUUAUUUGACUUUGUUGUCUGCGCAAAAGACGGGUGUGUGCUCAUUAUAAUUGUAUCCCUCGAUGCUAAAAAAAGGCAACUCACGAUCCUGGUCAUUGUAGUGCCAAAGGUUUAAGGUUAAGAAUAUGAUAUAUGCCUCAACAAAAAAAAUUAAACUAUUUGAACGGCAGGACAAGGGGUGUUUGACCCCUUAUGAUGGUAUGUUGUACUGCUACUUGGACUUAGCCUGAAGAUUUUCAAAAUCUCAAUCAGCGAAAAACUCCAUAUGUGCAAGUUGGUGGAGUUUAAGUGUGAUUUUCAGUUUAACUACAUAUGUGCAAGUUGGAUGCUUUGGAUUUUAUUGCCAAACUUUGAGCAUGUAGGAUAGAUGUCAUCAACUCGAUAUUCACCCAUAACUAUUCAUGGCCAUUAACCUCAAGGUUGCAUGCUAGAGCUUCCUCGUUGGCUACGUCUGAAAAUGGAGAUCUUUAAAAUACAUUGAUGCCAUUUUGAGAAUGAGGCAUCCGAAAGUAGCAAAGUCAAAUCCGUUAAUCCUCGGAGGUGCCAACUUCAAAUAUGACAGUUGGAUCAUGAGAAUGCCUAAAGAAUUUUCCAUGUUGUGUUGUAGGGAAAUUCUUCCAUUUUUAGUGCAUGUAACCAAUGCACCAAAGUAUCGCUGGAAAUCCUCUUGCAUCAACCAUUGCCAAAAACCUUGCAGUAUUGUCGGAAUUGGGUAGCGUCCCUCUUACAUAAACCAUUGCCAAAACCUUGCAGUAUUGUCGGCAUUUGGUGGCAUGGGAUACUCAUCUCCGAAAACCUUGAUCACAGUCUCUUCAAAAUUACUCACACUCUUCAGGGUGGUUUCUUCCACAAUCCACAUGUGCGCAUCAGCAUAGCCAGAAGGGACAUCAUAUGUGAUCACUAGAAUUGCCGGCGCGAGCAUUUGCAAACAUUAAAGCCAAGUUCCAUGGCUCAAUUCCUCUGUUGCAUGAAGUAUCUAUUGUUAUCUUUCAUACCAUUGAUAAUCUGCAUGAAGAGCGCCCUGGAUAUCCUGAAGGGACGCGGAGGUACGCGGGGGGCCUCUAAAAAGUACUCACGCCAAAAUUGUUGAUGGUCGACCAUUUUGUUCUGAUAAAUAUUCAUGCGCUCAACUAAGAACUUGGAUGUUUUUUUUAUUUCAACCUCCCACUAAGCUAGCAAAAAUUUCACCUCCUCCGAGCCAUCGUCAACUAGCAUGUCUUUGAAGGAAUCAUCGUUUGACACAUCCAACAAUGAUGAAUUCUAGAAAUAAUCCUCCGCCUACUAUCUCCUUUAUAUACAAUAUGUACUACCAACAUCAUUGCGCAAACCAAUUCAUAGCCUCCAAAUUUGCCAGAAAUCUUUUUACCUUAUGAGCACAAGAUCAAAUAUUGGGUGGGCUUGCCACCGGCCAAAUCGGUGAUGGCAGGCAGACGAAGGAAUGUUAGAGGUCAGGAAAGAGAGGGGGAUGUGCGGUCCUGCAACUAACCUCAUGACGGGCUAGCCGGAGUAGCAGACGCCACGACGAUAAUCUCCCAUCCUAGCAAGGCCCAGCGCCAGCGUAAGGACGCCAACACGGGACUCCCGAAGGUCAUGGGAGUGAGGCAUUGUGGUGGAAUAUUGUCAAGGGAUGGCAACAUCUUCACGUCGUCGGAGAAACGAGUGAGGGAGUCCUGGACUAAGGGGUCCUCGGGCGUCCGGCCUGUUAUUCAUUGGGCCGGACUGAUGGGCUGUGAAGAUACGAAGGCCGGAGACUCUACCCGUGUCCGGAUUGGACUCUACUUGGCGUGGAAGGUAAGCUUGGCAACCGACUAUGUAGAUUCUCUCUGAUGUAACCGGCUCCAUGUAACCCUAGAUCUCUCCGGUGUCUAUAUAAACCGGAGAGCAUAGUCCGGAUACGGGACAUUCAUUACCAUAUUCACAUAGGCUAGACUUCUAGGGUUUAUCCAUUACGAUCUCGUGGUAGAUCAACUCUUGUAACACUCAUAUUCAUCAAGAUCAAUCAAGCAGGAAGUAGGGUAUUACUUCCAUAGAGAGGGCCCGAACCUGGGUAAACAUCGUGUCCCCCCUCUCCUGUUACCAUCGAUCCUAGACGCACAGUUCGGGACCCCCUACCCGAGAUCCGCCGGUUUUGACACCGACAUUGGUGCUUUCAUUGAGAGUUCCACUGUGCCAUCGACAAAAGGUUUGAUGGCCCCUUCAAUCGUUGAUGAUGACGUUGUCCAGGGAGAAACCUUUCUCCCCGGACAGAUCUUCGUGUUCGGCGGCUUCGUACUGCGGGCCAACUCGCUUGGCCAUCUGGAGCAGAUCGACAGCUACGCCCCUGGCAUCAGGUCAGAUUCGGAAGCUUGAACCACGUUGCGGACAUCCGUGGAGACUCGAUCUUUGACAGAUUCGAGACCGCGGCAAUCGCUCCCCGCCGCCCCGAUGGACAUGGCUUAAACCUGUCAUCGGGCCUCAUCCAGGAGAUAGCUCCUGCAGCAACUCUGGCCUUAGAUCCGGAGCAGAUCAAGUCGUCCCAGGAUGGGAAGCUCAACCCCAUCACGGGGGCUACCGAUUCCGCGGCGUUGGAGCCGCACACAGAUUCUACUGCGUAUGAUAUCAGCAUCAGCGGAACCCCGGACUCGUCCCCGGCGACAGGUUCCGAACCCUGCGAGUCCGCAGAUACCGAACUCGAUCGGUUAUCGAUCUUCAAGUUCAGCGCCGCAGACGUCUUCCAACACUCGCCCAUGGGCGAUGUACUAAACUCACUAAAAAACUUAUCUCUGGCAGGCGACUCGCCACCGAACUAUGUUCGGUUCGAACUUACGGCUGAUGAUGGAGAAUUUUGCUUCCCACCCGCCACCCACUUCAUAGCCACUGUCGAAGACCCAACCAACACGCUUGACCUCGGCCCCGAAGACAUCGACGGUGUGGACGACGAUGAGGGGCAAGGCCAGAACUCACUACCCGCUAGACGCGGGAUGGCCACUUCAUGGUACGACGUGUGUAUGAUAGACACACCCAACGACGCUUUCGACGAUGACAAGGAGGACCCAGUUGAGGAUAAACCUCCUGGUACACAGUCCGAACACCGACGCGCCCUGCACUGCUCUAAGUCACGACGCUCAAGAGAAAAUAAUACUAGCACCGGAGAAGAUAACACUCCGGACGAUGAAGACCCUGUUGAGGUAAGAUCCGAACAGGAGGAACAGGAAGGCGGGCAAGACAGCCCUGAUGAACAGGCAACAUAUGGAGACUCAGAGGAUAGCAAUUAUCUCCCACUCUCCGAGGAAGAGGAGAUCCUCGACAACGAGGAUUUUAUCGUGCCUAAGGAACCUCUCGAGCAGGAGCGCUUUAAACGCCAGCUCAUAACCACCGUAAGGAGCCUAAGAAAGAAGCAGCUACAGCUUCAAGCGAGCCAAGAUUUUAUCAAUGAUAGAUGGACCGAGGUCUUGGCCGCCGAAGAAUACGGCCUUAUCGGCCCAGACAAGAGCCACCCCAAGAGCAGGUGGCUCCCUCAAUACAUGGCGUGGAGCCCACACCACCAUCGAAUAAGGCUGUAGGCCGACCACAGUUCGGUCCGGAUAAAGCAGCAGCCCAAGCAGAGCACCAUACCAACCCAUCCGGUCGUCAAAACAAGAACAAAACAGCUCGAGGGAACACUCGCGACAUCCAACAGGACCUGGAGGGUAGAACAGAACACACGAAGUCAAUACACAGAUCGCGGGGACAUGCCCCGACCUGUGGUGAUGUGAUACGUCUCCAACGUAUCUAUAAUUUUUGAUUGUUCCAUGCUAUAUUAUAUUCUGUUUUGGACAUUAUUGGGCUUUAUUAUACACUUCUAUAUUAUUUUUGGGACUAACCUAGUAACCGGAGGCCCAGCCCAGAAUUGCUGUUUUUUGCCUAUUUCAGAGUUUCGCAGAAAAAGAAUAUCAAACGGAGUCCAAACGGAAUGAAACCUUCGGGAACGUGAUUUUCGAAACGAACGUGAUCCAGAGGACUUGGACCCUACGUCAAGACAUCAACCAGGAGGGCACGAGGUAGGGGGGCACGCCUACCCCCCCCCCCCAGGGCGCGCCCUCCACCCUCGUGGGCCCCCUGUUGCUCCACCGACGUACUCCUUCCUCCUAUAUAUACCUACGUACCCCCAAACUACCAGAUACGGAGCCAAAAACCUAAUUCCACCCCCGCAACCUUCUGUACCCGUGAGAUCCCAUCUUGGGACCUGUUCCGGAGCUCCGCCGGAGGGGGCAUCGAUCACGGAGGGCUUCUACAUCAACACCAUAGCCUCUCCGAUGAUUUGUGAGUAGUUUACCUCAGACCUUCGGGUCCAUAGUUAUUAGCUAGAUGGCUUCUUCUCUCUUUUUGGAUCUCAAUACAAUGUUCUCCCCCUCUCUCGUGGAGAUCUAUUUGAUGUAAUCUUCUUUUGCGAUGUGUUUGUUGAGACCGAUGAAUUGUGGGUUUAUGAGCAAGUUUAUCUAUGAACAAUAUUUGAAUCUUCUCUGAAUUCUUUUAUGUAUGAUUGGUUAUCUUUGCAAGUCUCUUCGAAUUAUCAGUUUGGUUUGGCCUACUAGAUUGAUCUUUCUUGCAAUGGGAGAAGUGCUUAGCUUUGGGUUCAAUCUUGUGGUGUCCUUUUCCAGUGACAGUAGGGGCAGCAAGGCACGUAUUGUGUUGUUGCCAUCGAGGAUAACAAGAUGGGGUUUAUAUCAUAUUGCAUGAGUUUAUCCCUCUACAUCAUGUCAUCUUGCUUAAAGCGUUACUUUGUUCUUAUGAACUUAAUACUCUAGAUGCAUGCUGGAUAGCGGUCGAUGUGUGGAGUAAUAGUAGUAGAUGCAGGCAGGAGUCGGUCUACUUGUCUCGGACGUGAUGCCUAUAUACAUGAUCAUACCUAGAUAUUCUCAUAACUAUGCUCAAUUCUGUCAAUUGCUCAACAGUAAUUUGUUCACCCACCGUAAAUACUUAUGCUCUUGAGAGAAGCCACUAGUGAAACCUAUGGCCCCCAAGUCUAUUUUCCAUCAUAUUAAUCUUCCAACACUUAGUUAUUUUUAUUGCCUUUUAUUUUACUUUGCAUCUUUAUCAUAAAAAUACCAAAAAUAUUAUCUUAUCAUAUCUAUCAGAUCUCACUCUCGUACGUGACCGUGUAGGGAUUGACAACCCCUUAUCGCGUUGGUUGCGAGGAUUUAUUUGUUUUUGUAGGUGCGAGGGACUCGUGUGUGGCCUCCUACUAGAUUGAUACCUUGGUUCUCAAAAACUGAGGGAAAUACUUACGCUACUUUGCUGCAUCACCCUUUCCUCUUCAAGGGAAAACCAAUGUAGUGCUCAAGAGGUAGCAUGAUGGUCACCUAUUCGGACACAAUAGAGCCGACCACGCCCGGUCCGAACUCCGUAAAUGGAGACCGCCGGAGGUGCUUCAUAGUGUGGCUCAACAUAGAGGAGCCGCACACCCUCUCUGCUUCACUGACGAGGUAAUGGAGCAUGAAUUUCCAGACGGGUUUAAACCCAUUAACAUCGAAUCAUACGAUGGAACAACAGAUCCCACGGUAUGGAUUGAGGAUUACCUCCUCCAUAUCCACAUGGCUCACGGAGAUGACCUUCAUUCCAUUAAAUACAUACCUCUCAAGCUUAAAGGGCCAACUUGGUACUGGCUAAACAGUUUGCCAGAAAUUUCUAUUGGCAGCUGGGAAGAUUUGGAAGACACCUUUCGAGACAACUUCCAAGGAACAUAUGUCCGGCCACUAGAUGACGAUGACUUAAGUCAUAUUGUCUAGAAGCCCGGCGAGUCAGCCAGGGAGCUCUGGACUAGGUUCUUAGUCAAAAAGAACCAAAUUGUCGACUGUCCGGACGCAGAAGCCCUCGCAGCCUUCAAACAUGGCGUCCGGGAUGAAUGGCUAGCGUGUCACCUCGGCCAGGAAGGACCCAAAUCCAUGACAGCCCUUACCGCUCUAAUGACUCGCUUUUGUGUGGGAGAAGACAACUGGCUCGCUCGUAAAAGCAACAAAGCCAGUGACCCGGGCACUUCCGAAAUUCGAGACGGCAACGGUAAGCCACGACGAACCGAACACAACAGUCGCAAUAAUACUGAAAGAUUACGCGGCACAGCGGUCAACGCCGGAUUUCACAAUCCGAAACCCGGUCAACGGAAUAAGCCACUAAAGGCAAACCGGGAUGGAUCAUCCACCCUUGACAGAAUAUUGGACCGACCUUGUCAGAUUCACGGUCAUCCUGAUAAGCCAGCUAACCAUACCAAAAGAAACUGUUGGGUCCUCAAGUAGGCAGGCAAGCUUAACGCCGAUAGCAAGGGGAGGAGGCCACCAGGCGAUAAAGACGACGGAGCGGCUCGCCAGCCGAACAUCAGGGGCCAGAAGAAGUUUCCCUCCGAAGUUCGACCACUCCCGGAACGGAAAUAGCAGUUCGGCUUCCGCCACCCACCUACCAUACUGGCGAGAUUUACACCACGCGUACAUCACUACGCACUCAAGAUACCAUGGGCAUCUGCGGAAGCACAAUAUGGACAACCCUGCAAGAAUCCCCGUAACGUUUUUAUCCGUUUUUCUUAUUUUUCUGUAUCAUUUCUUAAGAACAGGUGACCAACACGACAGCAUCUACAACGGACUCUAUCGGAGUUCGGAUCCGUACACUCACCUAAGGGGCUACUUCCGUUAAGGAUUCCCCUCCCUGAGGACGGGCGGCGCAAACGUGCGACAGGAGGUCCAAAGUAACUUUUUGUAGACCGCACUCUUUAUUCCGAGCCUGUACUAUGCCCUUUUUCCCUCUGUUCCCGACCCCGAGCAUGUCAAAUAGCCGGGCUUGUGGUUCCUUUAUAUAUAUAUAUACACACACACACACACAUAAAUUCGUCAUUGGUGUAUUGCUCCGCUCCCAGUAAACCUUGUCCGAACUAAUCUUUCACACUCUUUCAACAAUGAGUACGGCAUCAACGGUUGCGUUACAGAUGCACCUCAGCAUACCGUGCCAGGGGCUCGGUAUGGGAACGAAAGAGUUGCCAGCAAAAGUCCGAACAGCUCUAUAGCGUACUUCGGUGUCGCAAGUUUGGCCUUAUAUGCAUCAGCUCCGAAUCAUUGUCUUGGGUCAAUAGUUGGGUUGCCCGGCUCCUGUGCUUGCUACCCUACGUUCCACUCUAUCGGCUAGGGUAGUAAAGGGAGAACUACUGCGAUUGUGCCCUGGUCUAAACCGGACGAGCACCUUAGUAGAGAAAGCUGAAAACUGACUGUCAUGAUGCGGCGAGAGUUGAUCAACCAAUUGACGACUUCUUGGAAUCCUUAGCGAUUCUCCGUGUCACACGAGGGAUCUUUUUCAGAUCAAAUAUGCAAGGCAUUAUACGCCACAUACAUACCAGGGGCUAUGUCGUAGCCCCACCAUAAAACUCCUAUGGCUAAGUGAAAGUGUUAACGCCUUAUAGUCCGAUUGCCUGGUUCGCUGCAUUAUCACCUCCUUUACGGACCAAGACGUUGGAUAAAGAGUGAUUAGAUGCUUUUCCGAACACCCCCGUACUUCCUAUGAGGGGGCUGAAGCCGACGACCGGAAAACUUUCAGAUUAUAUUAAAACGGCCGCACAGGAGGAAUUCAAGCUUUGGAGCAAAAAUAUAAAAUAGAUCAAUUAUAAAAUUAUCUUUUACAAUUGUAAUACACCUCACUCGAACAUUAUGUUCUUCGAGCAUUGACCCUCUAUUAGGCGGGCGGCUUCCAGGACGUCUUCAAAAUAAUGCUCCGGCUCAUUACGGUCCUUGCCCUUGGGCGGACUCUUCGCAGCAACAUCGACGGCCUUCAUCUUCCCCCAGAACGUCUUGACUCGGGCAAAGGCCAUCCGUGCACCCUCAAUGCAUGCCGACCGCUUCGCAGCAUCGAUACGCGGCACCGCAUCAACAAGACGCCGAACCAGGCCAAAAUAGCUCUUGGGAACAGGCUCACUCGGCCACAACCGGAUUAUGACGUUCUUCAUGGCGUCGCCGGAUAUCCUAUGAAGCUCGGCCCAUUGGGACAUCUGUUCAUUUAGCAACAGAGGGCGCUUUGAUGCGCCAAACUGUGACCAGAAAAGCUUCUCCAUUGCAUACCCCUCUUGCGCUUGGUAAAAUUGCGCCACAUCGGAAGAACUCUUCGGCAAGUCCAAAAAUUCAGCCGGAGAACUCCAGACCUGGCUUAGCUGAGCAUAGUCCGGAUCGCCAAACUUAGUUUGAAGCAAAAAGGGCUUACCGGCUGCUAUCUCCUUAGCCUGCCGAAUCUCUUCACGAGCUGCCCUAGAUUCAGACCGAGCUUCACUCGCCUCUCGUACGGCCUUAUCAAGUUCAGCCAUUUUGGCUUUAUUCUCCUUCUCAAGGAAUUCACAGCGGCUGGCAGUAUUCUUCAAUUCAAACGCCAGUGCGGAUAUUUUCUCCUCACUUUGGCGCCGAGCUGCUUGUUCGGCUCUUAGAUCAGCCGAUGCCUUCUCGGCAGCUGCAUCACUACACCGGGCCUGCUCCUUGGGCUGGGCUAGCUCCGCCCGAAGAGCUUCAACGGCGGCAGCACCAUCUGCAAUCAUGCGCAUUUCAUAUAAAACCCUUUUCGGCAUCAGGCCUACAUUACAAGCACAUUGGUGUAAGGAAUGCUCGAAAUAUAUACCUUGCGAGUCGUCAAGACGCCUGUUGAUCAAUGCAAUGUCAUCUUCUGCAAUAUCCAGCUUUAGCUGCAGUUCGGCCACUUCCGUAUUUCGGGUAGCCGCAGAAGGGGAGGCAGCCUGUAUCCCAAGUUAAAUCAAGGUUAGUAACUGAGCAUAUCUUUUUGAUCCUCCGUUCGCCUCCUUCGGAAGGCAACCCGGGUCUCAGGGGCUAGUGCAUAUACAACAGGUGCAUUCUGUCAAUAUUAUUCAAUUGGCAAAACUACAUCACAAACCUCACAACCUCUUAAAAGGCUCGAGAAGGCCUCGUUCAACCCGCUUUUCGUGGAUAGAACCUUUUCGACCACCAUAACCAUCAAGGCACGGUGCUUCUAUGAAAUGGACGCUCGCCGCAGCAUGUCCGUCAGCAUUUCCGGCGCUCCGGGGUCUUCAGAAACCGCCGCCGGAGUACAGCAUUCCUUUGAAGGAAUCCGCUUACUCGCCCCCAGAAUCGUCUCCGGCUAUAAACCGGACGGUUCGGGGCCGUCAUUCUUGAUCCCUGAACCCUGAGUGACAGAGGCACCACCUUCGGGUAACGCCUUCUUCGUUUCCUGCACUGCUUGACGAUUGGGAGGAGCCCUUCGGGACGAUACCUCGGUAUCAUCCCCCUUGUUGGGCGAAGAGGCCGGAGAUGGCGUGUCACUCUCCAUCAUCUCUGGAAGAAGGUCUCCCGAGGAGGAGGACGAUCGAGAAACACUAGGCGUUAACCUGCAUGGAUGUGCAUAUGUCGGAUGAUUACUUCACUAAUAGGAAAAGAAUGAGGUACGUUUAAAGUGCCCCAGCUUCACUUACGGUUUGGCCAGAGGUUCGUCCUCGCCAUAAAACCUUACGGCAGCAUCGCUCGCCCGGCCCAAACUGCCCGACGAUGGCAUUUUUCCUCUCUUGGAAGGCUUCCCCUCCUGAUCUUCAGAAGCAGCCCUCUUUUUGCCAUGGAGAGCUUCCUCCACACCUUUGCCCUUGGGCAAAAGAGUUUCAGUUUCCCCGAACACAACUUUUAAUUCGUCCUCAGGGCGGGUAUAACCUUCGAGCUCCCCGCUCUCGCCCCCCUCUACAGACACCUGGUACGGUGUGGGAAUCAGCAUUCUCGUCAGCAGGGCGGUCGCAGAGUCUUCGGGAAGGGGCGCCGGACACCAGAUUAACACCGCUUUCUUUAUCCAGUCCUGUAUAGGGACGGAUUGUUCGGUAUCCUGUCAAGAGAUGCUUGAAUGGAAGGUGUUCAGAGUUUGAGUACUUACCGCAGUGUCCGGAUGGUUGCAGUCAAGGCCGACAUCUUCGGUGGUGUCCGGCCAUUGCUCUCGUUCCCCGAAAUAUAAUUUCCACAUUCCUUCAUGCGUGGUGCCGAAGAAGUGCUGAAGAGGCCGCCGCCCUUCUGGAUUAAACUCCCACAUACGGAGAGGCCGCCGCUGACAUGGCAGGGUCCGGCGGACUAGCAUUACUUGAACGACGUCCACAAGACCGAUGCCCUUCUCGGUAAGGCUUCGGAUACGACCUUGCAGAGUCUGCACUUCAUUGACGGAUCCCCGGUCCAGUCCCUUAUUGAUCCAUGAAGCAAGCUGAAUUGGAGGGCCGGGUCGGAACGCGGGCGUAACCACCCACUUGGAGCCCCACGGCUCGUUGAUAUAAAACCACCCCUGCUGCCAUAGGUCGGAAGACUUGGCGAAAGAUCCUUCAAACCAAACCGCGCUGGCAAGCUUGCGUAUUGUGACGCUGCCGCACUCUGCCUGCUCCUUCUCUGUCACCUGCGGCCUCACGUCAAAGGUCUUGAGCCACAAACCAAAGUGCGGAGGAGUGCGGAGGAGUCCGGAGGAAGGCCUCACACGUGACGAUAAAUGUCGAGAUGAGGAGAAUAGAGUCCGGGGCCAGAUCGUGAAAGUCUAGCCCAUAGUAGAACAUGAGCCCCCAGACGAAGGGGUUAAGCGCGAACCCUAACCCAUGGAGGAAGUGGGACACAAACACUACCCUUUUGCCAGAUUUGGGGGUAGGAACGACCUGCCCCUGUGCAGGAAGCCGAUGAAGGAUUUCCGGGGUCAGAUACCUCGCUGCGCGGAGCUUCACAAUAUCCUCCUCUAUGAUAGAAGAAGCCACCCACCGGCCUUGACGGCUGGAUCCGGACAUGAUUAGGGCUGGUGGCGACGGGAACCCGAGGGUUGGAACUUGGGGUGGUUCGGGUUGAGGAAGGAGCAAGCGCAAAGGAAGAAGACGAGUCUGCGACCCUAUAUAAAGACCCCAAAUACUAAGCGUAUCCACCUGGGUCUCGAAACUUACCUAUCUCCAGAGAGUUGUACCCAGGGGACGGUUGGGUUACCCACGCCUGCAUUAAUGAAAAUCCGUGAAUAAGGGAACACGAUCUUUGCCUCGGCAAGACGUGCCAGUAAAACCGCAUCCCGAGACGUGGGGCGACGUGCCAGCCAACGGUUGGAAAUAGUAACCGAGCAGGCGUGAUGCGAUGUCAUAAACAGUUAUCAAAAAAUUAGACUCGUGGAAUAUUGUAUUUUCUGCAAUUAUAUACACAGGUCCGGAUAUACCUACUACAUCCGAAGACUAUUCCGGAGUUCGGAAGGAGGAAACCCGCCUUGCAAUGCCGAAGACAAUAUGCACGCCGGACUCCUCGUCAUUGAAGCCAGGUUCAGGGGCUACUGAGGGAGCCCUGGACUAAGGGGUCCUCGGGCGUCCGACCUGUUAUUCAUUGGGCCGGACUUAUGGGCUGUGAAGAUAUGAAGGCCGGAGACUCUACCCAUGUCCGGAUUGGACUCUACUUGGCGUGGAAGGCAAGCUUGGCAACCGACUAUGUAGAUUCUCUCUGAUGUAACCGACUCCAUGUAACCCUAGAUCUCUCCAGUGUCUAUGUAAACCGGAGAGCAUAGUCCGAAUACGGGACAUUCAUUACCAUAUUCACAUAGGCUAGACUUCUAGGGUUUAGCCAUUACGAUCUCGUGGUAGAUCAACUCUUGUAACCCUCAUAUUCAUCAAGAUCAAUCAAGCAGGAAGUAGGGUAUUACAUCCAUAGAGAGGGCCCGAACCUGGGUAAACAUCGUGUCCCCCGUCUCCUGUUACCAUCGAUCCUAGACGCACAGUUCGGGACCCCCUACCCGAGAUCCGCCGGUUUUGACACCGACAACGAGGAGGGACAAACCGCCGCCACCGCAUUAUCGCCUACCAUCUUGGAUCGUGGUGACAGUCGAGCUCACGUGGCCAUUGAUUUUGUUGGAAAUAAGAGCAAGUUACUACGAGAUUUAAUCCGAAUAAACAGAAGAUAAAUCAUGACAGCAGUAGCAGAGAUUAAACUAAUAAUGUGAACUAGCAUAGUAGAUGAACAUAUCACAUCUAGGGCACAUACUAGAAACAUGAAUUCUACCACGAUCUCGAACAGGAAGGAUAGAAUCACAUACGAUGCAGUGGGAGCAGCACCGCCGGUGUUGACGUUGUCGCCCAUGUCGUCGAGGAUGAGGUUGCCGAGGUCGGGCAAGAAGUCGUCGUUGGCGAAGUCGUCGCUGCCAGCAGUCGCGCGAGUGCGCUCCCCAAAAACCUGAUCGCCCCUCUCCCGUACAGGAUCACGAGAGGUGGGGUUCCGGAGGCCUGCUGUCCCUUCUCUCGGUGCACGCCAAAAGGAGGGAUGGAGAAGACUUGCUUGGCGGUGCAAUGAUCUGGAUUGGUGGUGCGAAACCAUGCGAGACGGCGGCAGCUAGAGUAAACGUAUGCCUGACUAUAUAAUGCGGGUCGGGUAGGUCGUGGAGAAAAAACCCACGUCCAAGUAACAUCCCCACGAUCCAAAAGGAUCGGAAACGGCUGAGAAAUUAACGCGUCCAUUAAUUAUUGACUUAUUAAUUUUUUCCGAGCAGCAAAAAUAUAGACAACGUGCAUAGCUCUGUCCUCGGGUCGGCUCAUUCCCGCGCGGCGUGAUGAGGCGUGGCGAGGCGAGCGAGGAGGAGGAGCGCGCGUGUAGGUCUCCUCUUAUCAUGCUCAUACAAGUGGUAGAAGAGCUCACCUUAUAAAGAGGUGCAACUCUCUCUCAACUUAUGAGGUGGGACUAAACUUUAGUCCCACUCACACCACUCACAUGUGUGCAUGAAUGGGCCAAGAGAAUUUCAGAAUUUUAGUUGGGCUUUGGGCCAAAAGCCCACUAGCAAAUUCCAACAAUCCCCCACAAAGUCUCAUUGGCACAUCUCAUCAUUUAGUUCCAAAACAUUGUUUAUAUACCGUUGCUUAGUGGAGACUGUGAAGUUGAACUUCCACUUAGAGUUUUAUGCUACACUAGAUCACAACUUGAAUAGUGGACUAUGCCUUGAACUACAAGUUUUCUGCGAUACUAGUUUCACACAAAUUCUUGACCGAUACUGGGCUGUCGCAAGGCUUCCCCGCGGGUGGAGCGUAUACGUCAUACUCCGGGGCCUUUCAUGAAUUUAUUAGAGAACACCCAAUUCUCACAGACUGCGACGUUAACUGUCAAAUUCAUAUAGGUGUGUUCCUCAGGAGAUGCUCUACAGGACAACAUCUCUGCUUACCCGAAUAAGCCACUUGGAACACAUUAAGAUAAGUAUCAACCUACCAUGCAGAUCAGGAGAGUAUUGCAUCUUCACGGAGUGGGAUAAUUAAUAUAGGGAUACUCUCCUCCCAGCUGACCAACAGCUUGUCUCCCACUUCUACUUCACGAGAUCUCCGAUCACAUAGAGUGGGUUACCACUAUGGACAACUCAAGCGGUGGGUCUCAAACCCAUCUCCAUCGAUGCAUUAUCUAUCACAUUUUGUGAUAAACCCUUUGUGAAGGGAUCUGCCAAGUUUUUCGACGUUUGGAUAUAAUCCAACGUAAUAACUCUGGAGUUCCUCAAUUUUCUGACAGAUUUUAGUCUCCUCUUUGCAUGCCUUGAGGACUUCAUAUUGUCCUUAGAACUAUUUAUCUUGACGAUCACAGUAUGAUUAUCACAGUUCAUCAGGAUAGGGGGUAUUGGUUUUUCAACCAUAGGCAAGUCCAUCAAAAGCUCACGAAGCCACUCUGCUUCAACAGUGGCAGUGUCUAACGCUGUGAGUUCUGCUUCCAUAGUUGACCUUGUUAAGAUGGUCUGCUUGCAAGACUUCCAGGAAAUAGCGCCACCACCAAGUGUAAAAACAUAACCACUUGUGGCCUUAAUCUCAUCAGCAUCAGAUAUCCAGUUUGAGUCACUAUAACCCUCCAGUACCCUUGGAUACCCGGUGUAGUGAAUCCCAUAGCUCGCAGUGCCUUUCAAGUAGCGCAUAACUCUCACAAGCGCAUGCCAAUGAUCAUCUCCCGGUUUUGACACAAACCGACUCAGCUUGCUCACAGCAAAAGAGAUGUCAGGCCUCGUGGCAUUCGCCAAAUACAUGAGCGAGCCAAUAAUCUGAGAAUACCUCAGUUGAUCUCUAGCAAUCGUUGAUUCUUUCGAAGCAACACACUAGCAUCAUAUGGAGUUGGAGAAGGCGUGCAGUCGCUAUACCCAAAACGACUCAAGAUCUUUUCCACAUAGUGAGAUUGAAGCAGUGUGAUCCCACCAUUAUCAUCCCUCAAUAGCUUGAUGUUUAAGAUAACAUCAGCUACUCCUAGAUCCUUCAUCUCAAAACAGCGAGAUAGGAAAUCCUUAACCUCCUUGAUUAAAUCAAGAUUGGUUCCAAAGAUCAGUAUGUCAUCGACAUACAGACAAAGAAUAAUUCCUUCGCCCCCACCAUGGCGAUAGUACAUGCACUUGUCACCAUCGUUUACUACAAAGCCGGCAGUAGUUAAUGUUCUUUCAAACUUCUCAUGCCACUCCUUAGGAGCUUGUUUAAGGCCAUAUAAAGACUUUAAUAACUUUCACACCUUUCCUUCCUGACCAGGUACUACAAAACCAUCUGGCUGAUCCAUAUAAAUUUCCUCCUUCAACUCUCCAUUGAGGAAAGCCGUCUUAACGUCCAUUUGAUGAACGAGAAGACCAUGUGAGGCAGCUAGUGAUAGUAGCACCCGAAUUGUGGUCAGUCUAGCCACGGGUGAGUAAGUAUCAAAGAAGUCUUCACCUUUUUUCUGGGUAUAACCCUUAGCCACAAGUCAUGCCUUGUACUUUUCAAUCGUACCAUCAGGUCUAAUCUUCUUCUUGAACACCCACUUACAUCCUACAGGUUUGCACCCAUAAGGACGGUCAGUGAUCUCCCAAGUUCCGUUAGCUAAGAUGGAAUCCAUCUCGCUGCGAACAGCUUCCUUCCAGUAGUCAGCAUCAAGAGAUGCAUAGGCUUCUGAAAUAGUCCUGGGUGUGUCAUCCACAAGGUACACAAUGAAAUCAUCACCAAAGGACUUUGCAGUCCUCUGUCUCUUACUCCUCACAGGAGUUCCAUUGUCACCCUCAACGGGAUUCUCAACGUGUUCCAUCGCAAUGGUGGGUUCAGGAAUUAUAGCGAAUUCCUCACUAGAUGGAGUAGGUAUCUCCUGAUUUGAUGAACUCGACAUAUCCUUCAUAGGAAAUAUGUCCUCAAAGAAAGUUGCAUCAUUCGACUCCAUAAUCAUCCUUCAUAGGAAAUAUGUCCUCAAAGGAAAUUUCAAAACUUGGCUUUAAUCCUCAUCGCAGAGGCUGCCAGACAAAUUCGCCAAGGUGUUCGACCGUCAUCGGCACCAGAACUAUUGUUGCGGGACGCCGGGCGCCGGCUUCACUUGUGGGAUGCGGAUCUAGUGUUCAACGCCGACCGCCUCAUGUACCUUGCACCGAUGGUAGUUGCUACUUAGUUUACCCGGGGACGAGCGGGUUAGAGGGUUCCUCGGUGUCGAUGGUACCGUAAAUAGCAAGUAUCGUCAGUGCGAGGUACAUGUGGUCGUCGAUGUCGAAUACUUGCUAUGUUACUCAUCUUUCGAUUUAAAUAUGCAGGUAUUUCGUCGCUGCGAGGGUCUAGUGUUCGACGAGCUCCGCCCCUGCGUUCGUUGGUGAGCACAAAUGACAUCUCCUCCUCCCCCCCCCCCCUUCAUUUGCUCUGUAUAGCUAUAGGUGUCAAACAUCAGUAUGCGUAACCACUAUGCGUCUCCCGUUCGAAAGGGUUACAUCUAUAAAUAUGCAUGCAUUUGCAUAUUUAUAAUCGUGAUUCUUUUGAAUUGUCCAACAUUAUCCAUGGACAGCCCGAGUAUGUGUAGAUUGGGUUCAUUUUCCCAUAAGCUCAGCUCCGGAUCCGAUACAGAAUUUCGUCAGUGCCUCCCUGUUGUUCUCCGGGUACACAUUCUCUCUGCUUAUUGGCGAGACGUGUAUCAGGAGAACAGCGGGGAGGUGCUGCCAAAAUUUUGCGUCGGAUCCGGAGCAGAGCAUGGGAAAACGAACCCGAUCUACACAUACUCGGGUGGGAUUAGGACCUAUCUUUACCUAUUAGCAUGUAGGUUGCAUGGACGUAAUAAAACUAACAAACUCCAUUAACUGAUGGAUAUGGUUUGCUUAAUUAUGUAUAUAUUUCUUGUGUGUCCAGUAGGAAGUCAAUAUGAGUGAUCGUGCAUGGAUGUACACCGGUUACACUAGUUAGAAAGUUUGGACCGAGGAAUGUUUAACAAAAACCAAGGGGUUUGUUAGAGCCGCAUUUGCAAAUGGCCAGGAAUUUAGCUGGUGCCCCUGUGCCCGUUGCGACAACUAUAAAAAGAGGGACGAGCUUGAAAUGAGUAAAGACAUGCAGAAGUUUGGUUUUACGCCUGGUUACACAGUCUGGACAUUACAUGGUGAGUCUGCCUAACGUGCCAGAGCCGAGGUUCGUCGUCGCACCGACGAGCAUGGUACCGGGACCGCAGACAUGGUGCAAGACUUUGACGAUGCUCGGGACUCGGACGAGGAGAUGGAGGAAUCUGCAAAGGCCUUCACUGAAAUGUUGGAGUCCUCAAAACAUCCUCUCCACGAGCACACUAAGCUUUGUCAGCUGGAUGCCAUCUCACAAAUAAUGGCUUUGAAGGCUCAAUUCAACUUGGGCAGAGAAUGCUACGACGCGAUGAUGACAGUAUUCGGACGAUUUCUACCCAAAGGCCAUGUGCUACCUCCAAACCUGUACCAGUCAGACAAAAUCCUCUGUGCUCUUAAGAUGCCCUAUGAGAAGAUACAUGCCUGUGAGAAAGGAUGUGUCUUACUUAGGCUUUAGUAUGAGGACUUGAACUAUUGUCCCAUUUGCAAUUCUUCCAGGUAUGUUGUGGUAGACAACGGUAUGGGUGAGAAGACGCAGACCAAAAUACCCGUUAAUGUUCUUCGGUAUAUGUCAAUAUUACCAAGACUUCAACGUCUUUUCAUGGUCGAAGAGACAGCCAGACAGAUGACAUGGCACAAAACGGGAAAAAGAACUGAACUAGAUGCAGAUGGGAAUGUGAUGAUGGUGCACACAUCGGAUGGUGAAGCGUGGAAGCGCUUCGAUGCAUUACAUAAGGAAAAAACGGCAGAUCCAAGGCAUCCUCGAGUCGCCGUCAGCACAGAUGGGUUCAGUGUGUUUGGUCAGAUGGCAGCCCCAUACAGCUGUUGGCCCGUGUUUGUCAUUCCACUCAAUCCCCCCCCCCGGGCAGAUUAUGCAACGAAAGAAUAUUUUCCUGACGUUGAUAUAAUUCCAGGGCCCAACUAUCCGGGGAAGAAUAUGAAUGUGUACAUGCAGCCGCUUAAGGACGAAUCACAAGAAGCUUGGGAUAAUGGGUUCAAGACAUACGACGCCUUUAGCAAACAGAACUUCAUAAUGCGUGCCUGGUACAUGUACUCGACGCAUGACUUGCCGGCGUAUGCGCUAUUCAUUGGCUGGUGUGUGCAUGGAAGGUUCCCGUGCCCCACAUGCACGGGAGCUCUUGAGUAUCGUUGGCUGACGGCAGGGAGCAAGUAUAGUUGCUUCGACUUGCAUAGACCGUUUCUACAUCCUGGCCAUAAGUUCAGGAAAGACAAGAAGAACUUCAUCAAAGGUAGAGUUGUCAAACACUCUGCACCACCUGCGUUGACAGGCCAACAGACCCUAGAUCAGUUAAACGGUCUCGAGCCAGAUCCAGAGCGUCCAGGGUAUUUCAAGGGGUAUAAUAAGGAACACGCCUGGACUCACAAGACAUGCUUCUGGGAUCUGCCUUACUUCAAAGACCUCCUUUGCCCACACAACAUCGACGUGAUGCACACUGAAAAGAAUAUCGCCGAAGCCAUUUUUGGUACAUUGUUCGGCAUAGAGGGGAAAUCAAAGGAUAAUACUAAGGCUAGAGUCAAUCAAGAGGAGCUAUGUGAUAGACCGUUACAAAACAUGAAAGAACAGAAAGGAAAGGGGAUCAACUGGACGAAGCGAAAGGCAUGGUUCAAUCUUGGAAGGCCAGCUAUGAAGCAAAUUAUUUUGUGGGUGAAAAUGUAGUUGAUGUUCCCCGAUGGGUAUGCAGCAAAUCUAAAGAGGGGAGCGAGUCUUCAAAAAUUGAAAAUAUUUGGUCUAAAAAGUCAUGAUUGGCACAUAUGGAUUGAGCGGAUAAUGCCGGUAAUGUUGCGUGGCUUCAUCGCUGAGGAUGAAUGGCUAGUACUGGCAGAGCUGAGCUAUUUCUUCCGCGUUCUUUGUGCGAAAGAACUAUCGCCUGGCCUCCUAGAAGAAAUGGAACAGUUGGCGCUGGAGUUGAUCUGCAAGUUAGAGAAGAUCUUUCUGCCAAGCUUCUUUAAUCCAAUGCAACACGUAGAAUAGAAGAUGGCAGACCAUUUCGCUGUAUCUCUUCAACAACCUAACAGAAGUGCGGCCGUACAUCGAGUAAGAUCUCGGUACAUUGUUUCACAACUUCUAAUUCCUUUGAACUUCUCUUAUUCCUAGAUAUUUGAUGCAGUCGAUACGUCGCCAUAUUCUCGUAUGGAGCGGUGAUCCAAAAGGAUUCCGUCGAAGAGUAUGAGCUUCUGGCAAAACAAGGAGCCGAAUUUCCCGGUUUCAUCUCUUGGUUCAAAAAAACGGUAAUUUCCAUUAGAGCCUUUCUUUUCUUUGGCUAAUUUGUGACUAAUGCAACAAUCCUUUCGUAUUAAACUUGUAGGCUAAUUCAGAGAUUAUGGAUGCCGAAUUGAGACGAGUAGCUAAUGGUUUUGACUAUAAGGUCCAUUCAUUUGACAAAUACGACAUCAACGGGUAUCGCUUUUGUACCUAUGGCAAAGAGCUAUCUAUGGCCGACCGAAAGUCUACAAAUUGUUGUGUCUCUGCUAUCGGCGAAGGAGGUAUCGAGUAUUAUGGAAGAGUUGAAGCAAUUUAUGAACUUGAUUCUAUGGUGAAAACCCACCAAACAUCGUACUCUUCAGAUGUUAUUGGUUCCAGCCGAGGGAGACUAGAAGGACUCAUGAACAUAUAGGGCUAGUCGAAAUCCAACAAAGCACCCAUUUGGAUGUUCCCGAUGUCUAUAUUACAGCUCAACAGACAACCCAAGUUUUCUAUCUACCGUGGGCCUAUCAAAGUGACCCAAAUCUCAGUGGUUGGGACGUCGUUUAUGAAGUGCCGCCACGUGUUAGACCACCUCCCCCCAAUGAAAAGGAUUAUGAACCUCACAUUAACCAAGACACAUAUGACGAAGGAGAAUUCUUCCAAGAAACACGUCUUUCCAAAAAAGUUUCAAGAACUGCUCUACUAAACCCUAGAACAUUGAAGUAGACAACGAUAGUGAAUCCGACUUCACCCCUGAGCCGGAACAAGAAGAGCCGGAAGAAGAAGAAGUUACUGCUGCAGAUGACCUGUCAAUGCUUCAAUGAUUACGUAAAGGUGGCCUUCCACAUGAUGAUGCAUUUAUUAAUGAUGAUGAUGAGCACGUCAUUACCGAUAGUGAUGAUGAUGAUGCUUUUAUUAAUGAUGAUGACGAGCACGUCAUUACCGAUAAUGAUUAUUAGGUAUUCAAAUUUUUAUGUUGUACUUGGUUUAUAUAGUUAUUUGUAUGAUUGUAUGAUUUAUAUAGUUGGUAUUUAUAAUUUUCUUACUUUGUAUUAUUGUUUCUUAUACAUAGUGCCGUCUUGAUUUCCGUCCCGGUCAGCCCUCGCCCGCUUUAUGAUUCGGAUAUGGCAAAUUCUCUUUCAUAACUAUUUGUUGCAUUUCGCAUUUAUGACAAUUAUGGCCAUCAAGUUGACAUAGAGAUAUUUUAAUCUAGGAGGUAUGUGAACCGGAAUUUGAAACGGACCCUCUUGUCGAGAAGUUAAAUUUAGUUGAAAAAGAAAAUGAGUAUUUGAAAGAAAAAAUUAAAAGAAUUGAAGAAGAGAAGAUGACAUUGGAGUUGUAUGUUGCCGAUGCCAUCGAUGAUCACAAGAUGAAGAUGAAUGCAAUGCGCUUGAAGAUGGAUGCAAUGCGCCUGAAGCUUAAGAAGAUUAGAGAAUAUGCCAUUGAUAAUGAGGCUUGGUAUCAUUAUGCCGUUGGAUCAAUUGUUACCUUAGUUGCGAUCUUCAUCACAUUUGUUGUGAUGAGGGUAAGUUUUCUCUAGUGUUUUGCUUUACAAAUGGAUACUUAGCUUAUUUUCCUCCUAAAUGGCAUAAUUACCUAAGUUAGAUAAAAAUAAGCUAUACUUAGCUUAUUCAGUUCAUUUAUGACAUACUUAGCAUACUUAGGUAAAAAAUGGCAUGAUAAUCUUUGUUAGCUCCAAAAUGAUAUAGACUUAGCUUAUUUUCCUCGAAAAUGACAUAAUAACCUUACUAAGCUCCAAAAUGACCUAUUUACCUACCUUAGCUCUAAAAUGACCUACAUUUAGCAUUUUUACCUAGCUUAGCAAUAAAAUGACAUUUUUACAUACCUUAGUUAGAAGAAGAAGAAGAUAAAGAAGAGGACAGGAGAAAAAGAAAGAGAAGAAAAAAAAUCUUCUUCUUCUUCUUCUUCUUCUAACUAGUCUUCUUCUUUUUCUUGUUCUAACUAGUCUUCUUCUUCUUCUAAUUAACUACUCUUCUUCUUCUUCUUCUAACUUUCAUCUUUCCCAAUUUGCAGAUUUGCUUUACAUGAGGAAGUUUGGAUUCAUGGAGUGUACUAUUCUUCUGGUGCUUCCUUGUUGUUUAUGAAAACUUGUUUGGAUAUGUAUGUCUAUAUGGAUAUGUUGUUGGAAACUUGUUUCUGGUUAUGUAUAUAUGGAUAUGUUGGACUUUGUUGAACUAUGUUGUUGGAUUGGAUGAAAUAUGUUGUUGGACAUGCUGUUGGAUAUGUUGGAUAUGUAUGCAUGUAUAUCUGUGUUUGAAACCAUGUCUAAUUAAUGGGAUGUAAAUAAAAACAGGGGAUAUAUAGCCUCUUUGUCGUCCGCUAGCAGACGGCAAAGAGGACACGUGGCAGUCACCUGUGCAAACUAGGAACACUGGCUGCCUAUUUGGUCAUUUUGCCGUCUGCUGGCAGACGCAAAGUGACCAGCUAUGUCGUCUGCCAGCAAACGGCAAUGAUUCAAACAUCUUUGCCGUCUGCUGGCGGACGGCAUAUCUGGACACGUGGCAGCUUCCCAGUGCUGCCUAGCUGGGCUCUUUGCCGUCUGUCAGCGGACGGCAAAGAUCUUUGACUCUUUGCCGUCCGCUGGCAGACGGCAAAGAGCGCCGUUAACCCCCUAACGGCUCUCACGCCACUGCACUGCCGUCAGCUGUGUUUGCCGUCUGCUGGCCUCGGAUGGCGCACGGCAUAAUACUUUGCCGUCCGUUUCUAAGAAGCGGACGGCAAAGAAGGCCUUUGCUGGCAGGUGUUCAUCCGGACAGUUUGCCAUUCGUAAUCUAUGCCUUUGCUGUCCGCCAUGGCGGACGGCAAAGAAGCUGAUUCCAGUAGUGUUGGGAAUUGGUAUAUUGACUUUCGCCAAACAACCCCAAGUACGUAGGUAAGAGAGUUUCAACAUUUUCCUUUCCCAUUCCUCAAAUGGAGUCAUGGUCUUAUGCUUUGUGGGAACUCGGUUUAUGACAUGACAUGCAGUCAUUAGAGCCUCCCCCACCAUUUCUUGGAGAGACCCGAUGUGUCUAACAUGGUGUUAACCAUAUCAGUUAGAGUUCGGUUCUUUCUUUCGGCUACCCCAUUUGACUGAGGUGACUAGGGAGGCAUCCUCUCAUGGAUUAUACCAUGUUCCGCACAAAACAAAUCAAAUUCAUUGAAAAAAUACUCUCCACCACGAUCAGACCUAAGCCGUUUAAUUUUUCGAUCAAGUUGGUUCUCUGCCUCAGCUUUAUAGUUUUUGAAGAAAGUUAAAGCCUCAUCUUUUGAUUUCAGAAGAUACACAUAACAAUAUCUAGUGGAGUCAUCAAUCAAUGUCAUGAAGUAUCUCUUUCCACCUUUUGUCAACACGCCAUUCAUCUCACAAAGAUCAGAAUAUAUAAGCUCUAGUGGCGCCAAGUCUCUUGCCUCUGUAGUCUUAUGGGACUUGCGAGGUUGCUUAGCUUGCACACAUACUUGGCACUUGGAGCCUUUGACAGUAGAGAUUUUCGGAAUUAAAUUCAUAUUGGCUAGCCGUGUCAUGCAACCAAACUUAAUAUGACAAAGUCGUGAAUGCCAAAUAUCAGACUCAUUACUGUGGCAAACAUUAUUAAUAACUUUAGUGCAAACUUCUGACAAAGACAGGCGGAACAAGCCUCCGCUCUCAUAGCCUUUUUCAAUAAAUUGUCCAUACUUAGAAAUUACAACUUUAUUGGAUUCGAAAACCAACUUAAAACCAUCUCGACAUAAACGGGAACCGCUAACGAGAUUUUUAUUGAUGGAUGGCACAUGAUGAACGUUCUUCAGACGCACGGUCUUCCCCGAAGUAAACUUCAGAUCGACCGUACCAACACCUCGAACGAUGGCAUGUGACCCGUUCCCCAUCAGCAUGGGAGAAGUCCCUCUGGUAAGAAGAAAACAUGGAGGCGUCAGCACAAACAUGUACAUUGGCACCGGUGUCAAUUAACCAAUCAGGAGAUUAAAAUACUGAAAGGAUGGUAGGAUGAAUACCGUACCCAGAUUCCUUCGUAUCAGUAUCACCAAUGACAACAUUAGCGGACUUGCCGCUCUUCUCAUGUUCACGCUCCUCAAAGCGGUUAGGACACUUCGGAACCCAGUGAUUAGGAUCACCGUAGACAUGGCAAAGUCCCUUCCCCUUCUUAUGAGAAUUCUUCUUGAAGUUGGUAGAAUGUGACGGCUUGUUCUUUGUAUCAAACUUGCCUUUGCCCUGAGUUUUGUUCUUGUUGUUUUUGAACUUGUUGGGCUGGAAGUUCUUCUUCUGUACCAUGUGGGCACUAGAAGCUCCCUCGGCAACUCGAGCACGUGUGUCCUUUGCUCUCGCCUUCUCUUCAACAUCAAGAGUACCAAUGAGAUCCGCAACGGAAAACUCCUAUCUCUUGUGUUUUCGGGAAGUAGCAAAAUUAUUCCACGAAGGUGGAAGCUUGGCAAUGAUGCCUCCGGCAACAAAUUUGUCCGCCAACACACACUUGAAGUACUCAAGUUUUUUGGCGAGUGAUUGUAUCUCAUGAGCCUGCUGUACAAUAGAGCGGUCAUCAGUCAUCUUGUAGUCAUAGAAUUGCUCCAUGACGUACAACUCGCUGCCGGCGUCCGAGGCCCCAAACUUGGCCUCGAGCGCAGCCCACAUGUCCUGGCCGUUUUCAAAAAAACAUAUACGAAUCCACAAUGGAAUCAUCAAGAACACUCAGAAGAGCGUCUUUAAAGAGAGUAUCGAUCUUCUCAAAAGCUUCCUGUUGUGUUGGAUUAAGAUCGCCCUCAGGCUUGCCCUUAGUGGCGUCAUAGCAGCACAUGGUCUGAAACCAGUAGACUGCUCUCGUGCGCCACCUCUUAUAUUGCACCCCCUUAAAGGCAGGCGGCUUCAAAUGCGCAGCAAAACCACUUGGAGUAAAUUGCCUAUAUUCAGGUUUUUGGAUUGUUGGAAAUAAGAGCAAGUUACUACGAGAUUUAAUCCGAAUAAACAGAAGAUAAAUCAUGACAGCAGUAGCAGAGAUUAAACUAAUCAUGCGAACUAGCAUAGUAGAUGAAAAGAUCACAUCUAGGGCACAUACUAGAAACAUGAAUUCUACCACGAUCUCGAACAGGAAGGAUAGAAUCACAUACGAUGCAGCGGGAGCAGCACCGCCGGCGUUGACGUUGUCGCCCAUGUCGUCGAGGACGAGGUUGCCGAGGUUGGGGAAGAAGUCGUCGUUGGCGAAGUCGUCGCUGCCAGCAGUCGCGCGAGUGCGCUCCCCAAAAACCUAAUCGCCCCUCUCCCGUACAGGAUCACGAGAGGCGGGUUCCGGAGGUCUACUGUCCCUUCUCCCGGUGCACGCCGAAAGGAGGGAUGGAGAAGACUUGCUUGGCGGUGCAAUGAUCUGGAACGGUGGUGCGAAACCAUGCGAGAGGUGGCAGCUAGGGUAGACGUCUGCCAGACUAUAUAAUGCGGGUCGGGUAGGUCGUGGAGAAAACCCACAUCCAAGUAAGAGCCCCACGAUCCAAAAGGAUCGGAAACGGCUGAGUAAUUAACGCGUCCAGUAAUUAUUAAUUAAUGACUUAUUAAUUUUUCCCGAGCAGCAAAAAUAUAGACACCGUGCAUAGCUCUGUCCUCAGCUCAUUCCCGCAACCCGCGUCGUGACGAGGCGUGGCGAGACGAGCGAGGAGGAGGAGCGCGCGUGUAGGUCUCCUCUUCUCAUGCUCAUACAAAUGGUAGAAGAGCUCACCUAUAAGAGGUGCAACUCUCUCUCAACUUAUGAGGUGGGACUAAAUUUUAGUCUCACUCACACCACUCACAUGUGUGCAUGAAUGGGCCAAGAGAAUUUCAGAAUUUUAGUUGGGCUUUGGGCCAAAAGCCCACUAGCAAAUUCCAACAGAUUUCAACGAUUAUGAAUCAGUAGAUGGGUUGGGGUGGAGGCAGGGUGACAACUGUGGCGGGAGGACGAAGUGUGUGUGUGUGUGCGCGCGCGCGCGCGUGCGUGCGUGUGUGUGUGUGUGUGUGUGUGUGUGUGUGUGAAGGUUUAGUGGCCCCAAAAUAAAAUUGAUGUUUUUAGAGGGACCUCUGAAAUCGCGAGGAUGCCCUCUACGAAAUAUGUUCUCUCUUUUUGUAGAGUGAAUACAUGUUUAUGUAAUUCUAGUAAGACCGGUGAAACAUAACUCAUAUGUUUUAUUCCUAUAAUGCCGAAGCAUAACUUAAAUAUAAUAUCUUGAAUCAUUAAAAAUUUGUGAAAUGGCCUAAGUCACACAAGUCCUAACAAACAUCUUUUACAAAAAAGAAAAUGACACCCAAUCUUUUAGGUGUGCCCAAACCUUCUUCCUUUUGCAUCCACCAACCACGCACUGUGAGUAAAGCUUGAUGUCGUCUCCAGGCCUUCGCCCCAAUGAAGCAAACUUGUUUAAACCAAAAGCUCGUAGAAGCAAUGGUUAGUACAACACAAAAGAGGAGCAACAUUUCGUAUAAUAAUGUGCAGAAUUUCUCAAGUGGCAGUAACGAAUCAAUUUGAGUUAGACUAGGAAACAAGAGUGUGUGUGGACGCGCGUGAGAGAGAGAGAGAGAGAGAGAGAGCGAUCGUUGAACCGUUGGAGAGUUUUCUUACUAUUAAUUUUUCAUUCUUUGGUGCAUGUUUUACGUCGUUUUGCGAGUCCUUAUUUCUUCUUUUCCACACACAACUAGACUUGCACAUCCGUCGGUCAUGCACAAUUGCAGUUGCACAAAAAAUAUUGAAAGAAGAAAAGAAAAAAAAAAGUCAAACUCUAGCCACACCCAAGGAACUGUCCAACCCUCUUGUGUCACCGAAAGAAAGACACUUUUAUCUUUUUUUUUUAGAAAACUUCCAAUCUAUUUAUCUCAAUCAUGGCAGGACAAUGAAUAUCAGAAAGAAUAAAAAUUACAUAUAGAUCCAUAGACCAAAAGCGUUGAAGCGAGCCGAAGGCGUGCCGCCGUCAUCACCCCUCCCUCACCGAGCCGGACAAAACUUGUUGUACCCCCUCCGUCCGAAAAAAUUUGUCCAUUUGAGGGACAAGUUUGGGACAAGCUUUUUCGGACGGAGAGACUAAUAGAUAGUCGAGAAGUCGUCAUGCUAAGACCCCAUAGGACCAGAACAACAACCGCCGUCGAUGAAGAGAAACAUAGAUCGGAAGGGUCCAACCUGAAGGCACACGAACGUAGGCGAACAAAGACUGGAUAUGAGUAGAUCCACCGAAAACAACCACCGAUCGAAUCCCGUGGGAUCCGCCGGAGACACACCUUCACACGCCCUCCGACGAUGCUAGAUGCAACACAGGGCAUGUGAACGUUAUUCCAUCUUCAGAGAGCCUCCAUCGUCUCGCUUUUCUGAGCACAAAUCCUAACAAAACUAAAAGAAACGUCUAAAAAUGGGCCAUCAGAGACGGGACACCAAAAGAAAACAUGUUGCGCAGUGGCGUGUUUCUAUUCAUCUGUUUUCUUGACAUGAUGUUUUUGUUGAGCUUUAGGUAAUGUGAGGAGCACACAAAGCACAUGUUUAGCAUAGCGUGGCCGCUACCACAAGAAAACCUAGAUCACGUCCUCUCCUCUCGCCGCCACCGGCGAUGGAGGGGAGGUCCUUCAGAGAUGUGGUGCCAUGGUGAGACGUGUGAUACGGCGCGGAGGGCCGGUGCUACGUGUGUGUUGGUAGCUGGUUCGAGUUGGCGGCUCACCUCCGGCACGUUGGCUACCUUUGGUGGCUGAAUGGCCUAGCUUGGGCAUUAGAGAAGGGGGCUUCGUGAUGGGAUGUUUGGCGGCGAUGGGUCUUCGGCUAUCUUAGGGUUUUGGAUAGGAAGGUUAAACGGCGGCGCCAUCCCUAUGUAGGAAUAAGGUUCUCCAUGUCCUAUCGCCAUUUUGUUGGUGUGUUUAUCGUUGAUGGAGGGUGUCUGAAGUUGUGUCUCUGGCGGGUCUUCCGGGAUCUGGUUGGUUUAGGUUUCUGGUGGGUCCGUCUGUAUUCGGACGGUUUUCGUUGUCUUCGAAGUUUCUACAUGUCAUUGUUGGUGUUUUCUUCUCCGGGCGGCGAUUUGCUUCAUAGAUCACGAGCGCCGAAAUAUCCUGGCCUACUUUGACGACUUUCUGGCUGCUACUUCCACGAGCUACUGGGUUGGAAAAAAUUGCUCUGCCGAGGCGAAGGCCGAAUCCAGCUACUCUCACAGCGCGUAGCCGGUGGAUGCAGGAGGAAGAAGACUUUGGCUCCCCAUGAAUUUGAAUCUAAUUUUCCUUUUCUGUAUCGUUGAGUUUGUAAGGACGUGUCUUACUUAAUAUACGGUCUUGGACCUUACACAAAAAAAUAUGUGAAGAGCACACGAGAAGAUAGAUUCUCUCUACUGUAAAUAUGGCGGGUGAUUUCCAUCGGUGCUACUCCGCAAUAUUGGAAGGCAUGUCGGAAUCAAAUAAAUUUGAUUAUUUUCUUUGUGGAGAUACGUAUUUUUUAGGUAGUAUUCUUUAUGAAAAACAAACACCAAUUAACUUUAGAACUCCAAGAUCUGAAUAGAUCCUAAAACGACUUGUGUUUUUCCUGGACUCCGUCCCGGUGUAGGCAGAAGCCCUCCGAGUAUAUAAUUGGAAAGUGAUGAAACGUACGCACGCACGGAUAGAUCGUAUCCGUGACCAAGGACAUGGCGCUGCCGGAGAACAUCGACGGCGGCCAUCGGGCCAUCGUCAUCGAAGACGUCCCGCCGGGCACCGGGAUCGCAGACCUCGUCGGCGCCUUCUCUCCUUUCGGCACGAUCCAGUUCGCUUCCAUGGGUCCUCCUGCCGUCUUGGGUUUCGAGAGCGAGGAGGCCGCGGCGCACGCGCUGCUUGUGGCGUCCAUGAAGAGCGUCAGCCUCCUCGGCGUCUACAGGGAGAAGGCGACCAGUCCGAUCGAGGCAGCUGCGAUGCCGCCAUCAGCCGUGGCCGCGGCUCCAGAGGGAGCGACCAGUACGACGGCCGAGACCAAGACCAGCCAGAACAAGGCAGCGUCGGCGCCCGCCGUGCACAUAGACCAGGAGGCGAUCAGCUCACUCCUGGACUCCAUCCUCGCCCUGGAGGAAAACCUCGACACCUUGAAUAGCCUGCUCACCCAGCAUAGCUCCAAGAAGGAGGAGAAGGAGGAGGAGGGCGACGACAUCGACGUUUACAACUACGACAAGGCCUGGACAGACGGCUACAAUUCAGCCUUGUACUGGCCGGACGACAACUACUACGACGCCUGGUUCGCCGGCUACCAGGCUGGACCCAAGGAUUCUCCGAUUGGUUGAAUUUACAGAACUUAAAGCUGCAUCUAGGAGCAGGUGAUUUCUUUAGACGUUAAAAGGCGUGGAAAAACAGUUCUGCAUCUACUUGUUCGUGUCGUUAUUGUUUCUGCAAAUUUUCAUGGGAUAAAACCCUAGAAUUAAUUUGUUAGGCAGUUCAGAAGUUUUUAGUGCUUAAAUUUUUUGCUUUUCAAGGGCUGAAGUUUGUCCCGAUCGAUCGAAUCAGAGGAAACACGCGAGAGCAAAAUCAGGAGAAACAACAAAAGUUAAAUAUUUUCAUCAGAGAGAAAAGUCUCUUUCGUCUCCGCUAAACUAACUAUACGAGAAACCAGGGGAACUAGCCCUAGCCGCCGCCACGUGAUCGAAUCCUUCUCACCUUCGUAUGGAGGAUUUGGUUGCCUGCUGCGGGCGGCUGUGUUGGCGAUCCACAGCGCCGAUCUUCAACGGCAGCACGGCCUGGAUAGGUCAACGGAGAAGAGGGAGUCGGUGCAUGGUUCUGCGCGACGGCGAGUUCGGCAUCAUACCCAAACCUAUUGUGCAGCGGCAUGGGUGAUUUCCUUUUUUCAGAUUUUCUUUAGAGAAUCAUCGAGUGGAGGGCUUGUGGAGCCGUCGAUCGGCGUUUAUGGUCUUCGGAGUUUGUAUAGGCUCUUAUCAACGUUUUCUUCUCCGGGGCAGCGAUUUGCUUCGCAGAUCACGGAUGUUGGUGUCUCCUGAUCUGCAUCGACGAGUUCCCGGUCGCUCCUUCUACAAGCUCCUGGGUCUAAAAAAGUUUGCUCUGCCAAGGCGAGGGCUAGAGGCGGCAUCGAGUUAUGCUCACAAUGCGCCGCCGAUGGAUACGGGAGGAAGAAGACUUCGGCGCCCCCAAGAAUUUGAAUGUAAUUUUAUUUUUCUGUAUGGGUGUAUUUGUAAGACCUUUUGAUACUUAAUAUAUGGCCUUCUGCAAUUUCACAAAAAAAACAUGCGGGAGCAAAAUUAACCAAAAUAUCCUAAGGAGGUCGUGUGGAGCCGUCUCUCCGGCGGGUCUCACAGGAUUCGGUCAGUUUAGUUGUCCGAUGGAUCCAUCUAGAUUCGGCCGGUGUUCAUGGUCUUUGAAGUUUCUACCCACUCUUAUCGACGUUUUCUUCUCGGGGCAGCGAUUUGCUUCGCAGAUCGCGGUCGCUGGUGUCUCCUGGUCUGAUAGAUGACUUCUCGGCCUUUGCUUCUAGAAGCUUUUGGAUUUUAAAAAAAUCACUCGUCUAAGGCGGAGGCCCAAAGGCGGCGUCAAGCUAUGCUCACGGCGCGACGCCGGUGGAUGCAGGAGGAAGAAGACUUCGGCACCCUCGAGAAUUUGAAUGUAAUUUUAAUCUUUUUGUAUGGGUGUGUUUGUAAGAUCUAGUGAUACUUGAUAUAUGGCCUUCUGCCCUUUCACAAAAAAAGCAUGCGAUAGCAAAAUCAACCCAAAUAUCCUGACGGGCAGGUCAGACAUGGAAACAGAGUUAAGAUAUCUACUUGUUGGUGUCAUUUGUGUUUCUAUAAACUUUCAUGGUACAAGGCGCUAGAGUUAAGAUAGCUCGGUGAUGAAAAUGUUUAGGGUUUAAAUUUUAACAUUCUAAGCGUUGAAGUUUGCCUUUUUACCGGAUGCAAAAAAGCUUUUUUUUUCAUGAAAGCUGACAUGAACAUGUGUGACAACACCAACAUGAACCGGUUAUUGGUUAGGUUAGACAUUCGCAUCCAUGCAUACCAAUUCCAUUUGUAUUUCUCACAAUCAUAAUAAUUUAUGGCUCUAUAUUCCACCAAUAGUAUCGCUUUAAUCGGUCAUGGGCGGGCACAGCCAACGGGUCUGAUUCAAGACGGAGACGCACCCAUCGGGGCCGAAUAGAGGCUAAUUCGUACAGGGCACGCACACACCCUCCGACCAAACGGGCCGACCCACUAAGGACUAUACAAUUAGUGCGGGUUUUCUAGCGUUUUUUUUGUGGCCGGUUUUUUUGUUCUUUUUCUGUCCCUUUUUUGGCCGUAUCCUAUUCGGUUUUUAUUUUCUUCAUUCUUUAUCUUUUUUUGUUUUUAGUUCUUUUAUUUUAAUUUCAUGAAAUUUUCUUUUUAAAUUGUGUGAACUUUUUCAAAAUUUUAAAAAAUCAAUUAUUAUUUUUCAAAUUCAUGAACUUUUUUCAAAUUUGUGAACUUUUUCAAAUUCAUAAAAAUAUCAAAUCCAUGAACGUUUUUCAAAUCCAUGAAAUUUUUUCAAAAUCCAUGAAAUCUUUUCAGAAUUCGUGAUUUUUAGACAUUAAAAGGUGUGGAAAGAAAUUUGGGCAUCUACUGUUCGUGUCAUCAUUGUUUCUGCAAAUUUUUAUUGGACAAAACCCUAGGUUUAAGACGUCUAUGUUUUAUUAGGGAGUAGUAUUGUAUAUGUUAACAAGAAGUGUUGUGCUUAAAAUUUUGACCCCUUCAGCGCUGAAGUUUGUCCCGGUCAAUCGAAUCAGAGGAAACAUGUGAUAUCCUGAUGGCUGGGCCAGACAUGGAAACAGAGUUAAGAUACCUACUUGUUCAUGUAAUUUGUGUUUCUGCAGAUUUUAAUUGGUUAAGAUCCUUUAGUUAAGAUAUCUCACUUAUAAAAAUGUUUAGUGCUUAAAAUUUAACUUUUUAAGCACCAAAUUUCUCCUUACCGGAUGCAAAAAUGUUCUUGUAUUUCAUGAAAGUUGACAUAAACAUGUGUGACAACACCAACAUGAACAGGAGAAAGAGCUAUUGAUUUGGCUAGACAAUCGCAUCCAUCCAUGCCAAUUCCAUUUGUAUUGCUCAACCAUAAUUAAAAAUUGAGGGUACUCAAUUCAUAAUUAUUUAUGGCUUUUUGAAACGUUCUGAAUAAACAAAUUUACGAAGAAAAAAAUUUGAGGCUGCGCAAGUUACACAUGCAGUGCGCCACUUGUCAGCACCUGAGAAGGUAUGAGUGAAUUUUGCAAGGAGUACCUUUGCAAUUAGUGAUCCCGUAUAUUCCACCAAUAGCGUCACUUUAAUUGGUCAUGGGUUGGCUCAGGCAAUGGGUUGAUUCAAGACAGCUGCUGCAAGAUCAGGUGGGCCACCCCAAAUAUGGGCCUACUACCUCUCUUCACGCCACCCUUAUUGGGGCAGCUAGCGGAUCCCACCACUCCAGCAGGGCUAUAUGUCACUGACUCACUGUAUCGAUUCUUAAUACGGAUGUUUCUAAAAAAAAGAUUCUUAAUACGGAUGGAUGUGCACACGACGCUAUGUGCCCGACGUGCACACGAUAAAUAAUCUGCACUGUCAGAUGCUUUAGGGACAAAAGUACAGAUGGCUGGAUGGGAAACAUCGUCUGUAUGUCAACUAAAAAUAUCGGUUGUAUAGCAGUGCUCUUCUUAAUAUGAAUCGCCUACGGGCGACGUCCAGCGAAUAGGCUCAGUAGCAAGGCUUCGUUCACUGCGUGCUAUAGGUACGUGUGGUUCAGUGUACUACUGUUCUUUUGUUUUUGCUUUUUUCCUUUUGGUCUAUUUGUUAUUUCAUUAGUUUUCCUUUUAUAUAUUGCUUUGGUUUUCUUUGUUUUCUCAUUGGGGUUUUUGGCCUUUCUUUCUUUUUUCUUAUACUUUGGUUUCUUUCUAGUUUUUCUUCGUUUUCUUCGGGCUUUUUAUGCUUUUUGGUAUCUUUGUCGAUUUUAUUGGGUUUUUUCCACAAAUGACUUCUUUUUCUUAGAGCACAAUGUAUGUUUUUAGAGCAGACGUGCAGCAUUUUAUGAUACACUUUGGAUAGUUUUUAAAUAUAUGAUAUACAUUUUUGAAAAUACAUGUUUUGAAUACACAGUAAUAUUUUUUCCAAAUAUCCCUUGUUCAUUUUUAACUUAUGGGAAUACACUUUUCACAUUCUAUAAACUUUGUUUAAAAUGUCACGAGCAUUUUUUUUGAAUUGAUGGAUUUUUUUCUGUAAAAUGUUACAUAUAUCUUUUAAACUAUACAAAACAUUUUUGAUAGUACGCAAACACUUUUUUACAUUGUAUAAGUUUUUUUGGAAAUGUCAGAGAUUAUUUUUUUAAUUCAUGAAUAUUUUCUUAAAUGGUGCGUACAUUUUUCAAAAUUAGUCAAGCAUAUUUUUACAUUGUAUAAACAUUUUUUUUAAAUAGCACGUACAUUUUUUAACUGUUACAAACAUUGGUGAGACUUUAUUAAAUGCAACGGUGCACUGUAGAACACAGAAAAACCUAAUAAACUUGAUAAUAACAAUUCUAGUUACAAACUCUUAAUUUUAUGUUUGAAGCGCAUUAACAAAGAUUGAAGUAUUAUGACAUGCUUUGGAACACAAUGAAUCACAUUGAAACCGUAUGAUUGUUUUUGCAGGACAUAAUAGAAUAACAUUGAUCUGCGUGAAACACAACAUUAAGUUUUCGCCAAGUGUCACCAAGUUCCUUCGUAUUAGUUUGAUGUGCAUUGACACACACGGUGUAACAAUAUGAUACACUUUGGCCCAAUGAACUACAAUAGAAGCAGUGAUUGACAUGCUUUGGAACACUGUGAUACACCAUGUAACAUCGUGUGCAAUUUGCAUGUAGGCCUGNNNNNNNNNNNNNNNNNNNNNNNNNNNNNNNNNNNNNNNNNNNNNNNNNNNNNNNNNNNNNNNNNNNNNNNNNNNNNNNNNNNNNNNNNNNNNNNNNNNNNNNNNNNNNNNNNNNNNNNNNNNNNNNNNNNNNNNNNNNNNNNAAUGAGGCUUGCAACCUUUUGCAGCAAUUGAGAGGGAUGGUGAAACCGGACCUUGCCGCAUAACAAAAUGAAAGAAAGAGGUUGAAGUCACUGCACCAAAACCAGAUAACUACCCCCUGCUUGACACACCAACUGCCAAUAAGAUUCAAAAAGAGCUAACAGAUCUGGCAUCACCAAUCCUCACAUGCUCUUCACUAAUACCAGAUUGGACGUUGUAGAAAUAGAGAGAGGCUGGAGACCUUGUUCCAACACACCAUCGUUACCACCACCACCACGCGGAUGUCGCAUGGUUGUUAUCGUCAUGGCUGGCCGAAAACAGGGGGUGCGAUGUUGUUGUGUGGCGAGUGCAAUGAGAACAACCUCAUGCUCUGACCCAUGUGCUAAGAAGUUACAUAACUUCACAUUGUUACAUAACUUCACAUUGUCAUUUGAAUUUAUCAUAGCUACUUUUGCUGAGUGCCCAAAAUAAUUUGUAGCUGAUGUUCAAAUUAUAUGUAGUUACUUUGUAUGUUGUUGUGGUUAGUAUACAUAACCUCUACCAAUGACUACUGAUUCUUAAAUUGAGUUGUGUCAACAUAUUCAUUUAUAUGAAAUCCAUUAUGAACACUUUCGCCAUUAUACUUCGAAAAUCUAUCUUCAUCUGGAUACUUCUUGCUUCACUUGGUAUGAAAGUUUUCUUUUUCUUCCAAAAAGUCUGAGAUGGUAGUACCAUCAGAACACAUUGUUGAUGGUUUCAAAUGAGUUACUCAUGACAUUUUACUACGUAUGUGUUUCUUUACAAAUGACAUCAAUUUAUGUACUUCGCUAAAUUGUUCAGCGGGAAAGAGUUGUGAGGCAACUAAAGGUGGUGGAGAGGCGAUUUCUUAUGCAUGGUGGUAGCGACGCACGCAUGGUGGUAGCUACGCACGCAUGGUGGCAGCUACACACCCUUUGGCAUAAGUGUCUUUUUUAAUAUAUGAGGUGUCAAAUUUCUUAUGGCAUUGGCAAGAGUGCAUUUUUGUUGUAUAGAAAUGACUUUUUCUCACUUCUCUUUGUCUUUUUAUUACCUUUUGGCACAAGUGCAUUUUCAUUGUGUAGAAAGGCCCUUUUCUCACUUCCCUCAUCCUUUUUGCUUGCCUUUUUGGCAUAAUUGUCUGUUUGCUUUACUAACUGGUCCAAAGUCACGAUAUUUUCGUUAUAGAGUUGUUUUUAUAGUCCAAAAGAAUUAUAUUAAACGUGCAUGCAUGUGCAUAUCAUAUAUUAAAAAAGAACGUAUAUAGAAACCCGAAUCAACCAAAGGUAGCAACACCAUGAAAGUAUGUGCUCCCUACUUCUUUUUUUACUCCAGUAUUAGGUUUGUCUGAAGUUAGAUUCUUCAGGGUUUGACCAAGUUUAUUAAGAAUUAUUAGCAUUCAUAAUACAAAACAUCAUGAAAUAUAUUUUAUAUUAUAUUUAAUUGGUAUUAGAUUCUUCAGGGUUUGACCAAGUUUAUUAAAAAUUAUUAGCAUUCAUAAUACAAAAUCAAUAUCAUUAGAUUCAUCAUGAAAUAUAUUUUAUAUUAUAUUUAAUUGGUAUUGUAGAUGUUGAUACUUUUUACUAUAAAUUUGGUCAAAUUUUAUAAAGUUUAACUUUAGACAAAUCUAACACGUGGAGUAAUAAAAAGAAACUGUAAUAUGAAUGAAAUACACGCACUGGACAAGUACCAUGAAAGUAUGUAUGAUGCACAAAUGGACAUGUCAAAUUAUACUCUUCUUAUCCAACUACCACCACCCGAACAAAUUCAACGCAGACGUACUGCUGUAGCCCGGCCCGGCCGACCGGGUCGAGCCAAGAAGCAAAACGAGGACCAUUUCAAUCGAUCAAGGCAGGUGGUAGAGGGCGGACGGCGGCAGCGCGGCGGUGGCGUUGAAGUAGGCGAGCGUCUCCGCCCACCGGCCGGCAUCCUUGAGCAUGUGCACGGCGAUGGUGUCCGGGCGGAAGCCGCGCCGGAAGCAGUUGGCCGGGGAGCUCCCCAGGUAGUUGUACAUCCUGGGGGCGCCGUCGUAGCGGUUCUUGGCCUUGCCGGCGACGUUGAGCCACCGCCCCGUCCACAUGUCCUCCGGCCCGACGCGGUCCCGGCGGCUCACCUCCGACCGCGCCACCCAGCGCACCAGGUCCCACGAGAGCGCGUACCCCAUGCCGGACAUGAAGGGCGGGAACGGGUAGAAGUUUUCGCGGUCGCACGGCAUCUGCAGGCCCAGGUACGCGUCCUCCCGCGCCGCGCCGGCCACCCACGCCGCCAGCGCCGGGAGCCGCAGGUACGUGUCGUCGUCGGCCUUCAUCACGUAGUCGUAGGCGCCGUCGGGGAAGGCGCGGGCGGCGGCGGCGAAGAAGUCGUACGUCUUGCCGCCGUCCAUGUUCUCGGCGCAGUCGAGCACGAUGACGUCGCCGUAGCGCAUGAUCUCCAGCGCCACCAGCACGGCGUCGACGGCGGAGGUGACGUUGCAGAAGACGAAGCGCACGUCCACGGCGCCGGCCAGGGCGGGGUGCUCCUGGAGCUGCAGCGCGUACACCGUCCGCAGCAGGUGCCGCCGUUCGUACUUGCCCGGCAUCGUCUGGAUGCCGAUCAGCACGCGCACUCCGGGGUGCGCCUUGACCGGCGUGGUGGCGUCGGCGUGCUUGGCCGGCGUGGUGGCCUUGGGCGUGGCGUUGACCGGCGAGAGGACGUCGUGGGGCGGGGAGCCGGGGCAGGCGCCGGAGAAGAAGGACUGGAGGCGGAAGUCGUUGGGGUGGACGACGAAGACGGUGAAGGCGAGGAAGCCGGCGCCGAGGACGAGCAUGAGGAGGUGGGACGCGUUCACCGGCGAGCCGGCGGCGCCCAGGCCCAGCUGCUUGUACAGGGAGGACGGCGACGACGACAUGGCGGCGCUCUGAGGGAUCAGGUGCACCGGCGUGCUGCUUGCGCGGACAAGGAAUGGGAGCGCUGCGUCUGCUUCUACUUGCCUAGAGAAGGAAAUGGAGCGCCUGCUUCUGCUGCGUUGGACAUGGACCUGGUCGUGGCACGCGAGGCCGGGCCAGGCCGCUGCUGAUUUGGUCGACGACGGCGAGGUUGCGUGGGUGGUGAAGAGACUGAUUACGCAUUGAGAAAUUCGCAAUCGGGGAGGAUUACAAAACGAGAGAGGUUAGGUUCAGAGGUGAUGUCAGACGGAGGUGACAGAUUGUGACUAAUCCAACUCGAGUCAUGCCUCGGGCUUCCACCGGGUACAAUCAAUAACUACAGGGCAACUGCUAAUCGACAGGUGCUCACAGGGUACAACGAGUUAAGCAAAGUGCUUCAGACAUUGUGCAGUCAGCAAAACGAGGCUCAUCCACUUGUUUUCAUCCGAAUCACACCCUAGAUGAGCUCUUCUUAGAGAAAGGAACUCCACUUUGAGACUCAAAGUUGAUGAGAAUAGUCGAUUUGAACGGCAUCACCGAAUCAGUUUAGCUACUACACAUUAGUCAGCAGAUUCGAACACAACGAUCAGUCGAUUUUUAUCUUAGGGUUGAGAGGCCGGCGGUGGGGAGUGGGAGUGGUUCCAAGGAGGGCGGGGCGGGGCAGCGGGAGCGCCGCCGGCCGCAAGCGGCUCAAGGAAGAAGAUGCAUCAAAAGGUUGAAGAAAGACCGUGUGCCAUUGAUUUUCACAUCCAACAGUUCACAGAAUCAACUGGCCUUAAACGAAAUUUUCAGCCACGCCCAUAACGAAUAGCAGUUUUAGUAGGAUGAGAUCAGAUCAGGGCAAAAAUGUUACUCCCUCACAGCAAUAAUAAUUCACAAAGAUAAAUGCAGCCUGAGACAACGCAAACAACAAGCAAUACCCCGCAAAGACAAAUGCGAUCAGGCGCGGCUAAAUAGUUGCAGUAUAUUGAAAGCAGCAGUCAAAGCAAAAAAACCCUGGUGCGAAACAGAUCGUCUUCCAUAGUACCUCAUAAUGUGCUCAUCAACAAAUCACCUAAGCAGAAAGUAAACAGUAACUCAAGCUGAAAGUACCAGGCAGACAAUGUGCCUCAGAACAGUCAAAAACUUGACAGGCAUUACAACCUCUUCGGGCCAGCAAGACUCCUACGCGUACCCGGCGAACCCGGCUUGGAUCUUGAAGACCCUGAUGGUUCCGUCGGUGUAUCCGGUGUAGAGGGUGCUUCCGUCCGCGCUCCAGCUCAAGCUUGUGCAGUACAGCAUCUG